UAGUUCUAAAUACAAACAACACAUGAAUAUUCAUCAUCCGCUUCCUAAUGUGAAACAAGUUUAUCCUUCCAACACAGGGAUCAAUGAGCUCAUUGACCAUAGUUCAUCCUUCUAACGAGCUGGUUGAUGUAGUUCUCGUGGUUUUCAAUGUCACCACCCUAGAUGUAGUGGUUCCACUUCUCCAGGCCACUGAGCGGUCCCUUCAUCUUGAAUGACCACCUGAAGUUGUUUACCUCCUUGAAGUAUGGGCCAACAAUCAAGAUCUCAUGCACAAUAUCCUCGAUGCAGAUGAUGUUAUGCUUCCCCAAACCCUACGGAGAACACAGAAAUGAUGAUCAACUUGAUAUGGCUCGAGGGUCAUUUUGUCGUCAUCGUGUCACAUGCAGGGUGCUCGCCAUCGCCCGCCAAAGCUGUUGGACGGUAGUUAAUUCAUCGCUAUUGGACCAAGUGGGCACAUUAAUGUCUGUGUUUCUAGAGUUUACAUUUUUCUUCUGAAAUUAGAGUUAAUUUUUGACUCGUGAGCAAGAGCAAUGCCACAAAUCUUGAAAUUAAUUAUGCAGUCGUUACUUCAUGAUACAUAAAUUUAAUUAUGUAAGCCUAGCUGAGUGGGCAUGUGCAUAAGAUCUAUGAUCGAAUUUUACUAUAUAUAUAUAUAUAUUAUAAGUUGGAAUAAUAAGUGGCACACAAAUAGCAUGUGCGUGAAUACUCUGAGAAUCACAACAUUUUGUUGUUUUGGUGUUUCUUUGAAGUUGCAUAUCCAUGAAGUUCUCCUCUUCUAAGCGGCUAAGCUGAUGUGGAGUAGCUGGGUCUGGGAGAUUUUAUAAUUAAUUCCAUCUCCAAUGAAGAAAUAAAUUGGUUGUCCCCUACUUAUCUCAUGUGCUUUGUUAAAUAGAUUUCAUGUGCAUAGUCAUGCAUACAUAAAGUUGUGCAUUCAUGUGUGUUGGUGAAAUUUCUGUGUGGCCAUUCCAUGGGGAACUUAAUAUUUGGUAUCAUCAAGGUUUUAAGUUUUGAAUACAUGCUUGCAACAAGGAGGCGACCCCUAGGAUCUCGAAUGGGUCGGUCACCCUUCGGUAGAUUACGGAGAAAAAGAUGGCAAGGACGAUAUCAUCGGCGGGGCGCAAGCAUCAUCAUUGAGAAGUUAGAUAAAUCGAUGAGUCAUGUGCAUGCAUACUAGCUAAUCUAGUCAACAUCAUGCCAAGUGUUCAUAUCCAAGUGUGUGUCAAUCUGUGGUUUCGUUGCAGUUGAAAUGUGUCACGGUCGAACCAAUGUACACUGAGGUGUAUUACUCUGGGCUAAAAUACGUGUCUCGACAAGAGAUCAAGUUGGAGCAUGUAAUUGAAUGGUAAUUGAUAAAGGUGAGUAUGUCGAAUAAGGCCUUAUCUCUACGUGAACCCAUGUGGUCAUCAGCCGGUAUGUAACGAGGGAGCUAGUCUAAAAGCAUUGAGUUGCAUCGACAAGUCGUGAAUCUUAAACAAGUCAGGAUUCGAGGGUGUACAAGAGAUGACAGGUAGCAAAGAUUGCUGGAAAUAAUCUUCCCCUGAUAAAGCCCAUUUUGAAGUUGUUUUUUGCUAGCUUGGCAUGCCUGAGUCAAAGACUGAACUGGUUUUCCUACUACUAGUAGUACUGUAAAUAUAUGGUGUUUGGCUUGGUGCAUUAUGAAGUUAGUUGCGGUAGGUCUAGAUUUAAUACCUUUGACUAGUCUGUUCUUGUACUAUUGAGAAUUGCAGUAGGUCUAGGUUUAAGUCCUUUGACUGGUCAUGUUGAUGUCCUUAUUGAGUCUGGUUCAUAGGUCUAUGUGUGUGUAUAAACACACUAGGGGCUGAAGUUUUUUAACAAUGGUGAAAUUGUACCAGGGAUGCCAACUGGGGAGAAACAAGGAAACAGAUGGCGUGAUAUGUAUCCUUAGCCGGUGGGAGAAAUCCAAUAAGGAAUCCAGCUUGUUAGGAACCUUUUGGAUUUGGCGGCAUCAUGAAUGAAGCUUAAACUGCCGACCUCUUUCCCACUGCCUGGGUGCCAAUCCCCUUUCGCAGUGGAUCGAUGGGCCAGACAGGUGGGCUACAAAUUGGUUGCGGUGCAUAGAGCCCUGGCGAUGCACCGACUCCUCAGCUCUACAUGAACGCCAAGGGCAGUGCAAGAGUAGCAACAACUGUAUACACAGCGAACGUAGUGCAACUGACUAUUGUAAACUGAGCAAAUUAGCACAGUUCGGGGAUGAAGCUAGAAAAAAUGGGCACUGGUGUCGUGUCAACCGCUGCCCACUCUAGCAAAAAUUAUGGCGGUGCAGCAUCAUAGAUAGGGCAACGUAAUUCCUCUGAAUAUGGAGACACCCAUUUGCAAUUUUUUGGAGCAUUCUGAAGGACUACCUUCCUUACAUCCUCAUUUUGAUUUGCUAAAGUUUGUACCAACUCUCAAAAAUUCCCCUUAUUUCUUGAAUCCUCCUAUUCAUCAUUGCUGCGGAAAGCUAAACCUUGAUGUAGCAAGUAUCUAACCAAUUCAACAAAAGUAUUCAACUGAAUACGAUUUUGUCUCUUUUUGAUAUUGGUUUGCUUGUAGAGGGCAACCUUAAUGGACUGAUUUUAAUUCAUUAAAGCAUCACAUCUUUUAACGACUAUAUUGUGAAAGCUAUUAACCUCACCCUCAUGUGUAUCUAGUCUCUUUCUCUUAUUCUAGCAAGAGAAUCCUUUAACAACAAAUGCAUCAUUACUACCUUGGCCAUCUAUGCAAUCUCUGAAUAGAUAGCAACACAAGCAAAAUGCCUUAUGCACCUUAUCACUAUACUCUAGCCAAUGAUAGUCUUUAAACCAUUUUGGAUUAAAUCUCCAUUCGGCUCCUGUGAUCGUUUUCUGAGGAUAUUUAAAGUCUUAUUUUGGUCUGUAAGAUCCUCCAUUUAAAUAUAUUCUUCUAAUCUCAUAUUGCUUCUUAGGAUUCUUUGUGUACUACCCUAUUCUUUUUUGAUCAGCGGGAUCAUGAGGAAGUUCAUCUAAGUUAAUUUUUUCCGAAGGCAGAUGAGUUAACCGAUCUUGUCUUGGUCUAACUGGCCUUGAAGUCCAUGCCACAUUACUAUCUAGUGUGAUGUUGUUUGUUUCCCUUUCAACAAAAAAUUAUUCAUAUCCUCCUGGUCCUAGGCGAAUCAAAGAGAAAAUGAAAAAAGAUUACUUACCCAAUACCCAUCACAAAAUCAAAUCACAUGUAGAGUUGUAGACAGUAGAGACCGAGAGAUCAAAGAAGGCAGGGUGUGGCAGAUUACUUGGGAUGGGAAGAGCCAACAUUUGGCAAUUAAACAUUAUGCAGUGGCGGACGAUCGGCCGAUCUCACCAUUCCUCGGAUGAAACGGCGUCGAGUUCGCCGCCAUUCGUCGCCGUCUCGCCGAUUCGCUGCGAGAUUAGGGAUCCAAAUAGAUGAGGGCUUCCAUCUGUUCGCAUACAGGUAAAGGCGUAUAGCAGCAUACAUCGAUUAAUCGAUGGAUCCAUAGGAACGUGCGUAUGCACAGGACCAAUGGGCCGUGUGUCAUUGUUUGUUGUCACUGACUGUUGAUGUUUUUUUAAUAACUUUAUGGAUGUUAUGGGUUGAGGCUUUAGGGAGUAACUGUUGGGCUGAGGUCAAUGAAAAUUUUGCGCUGGGUGAGAUGCACUUUUCGUUUGCAUAUUCAUCAUCCACUUCCUAAUGUGAAACAAGUUUAUCCUUCCAACACAGGGAUCAAGGAGCUCAUUCAACAUAGUUCAUCCUUCUAACAAGUUGGUGAUGUAGUUCUCACGGUUUUCAGUGUCAUCACCCUCGAUGUAGUGGUUCCUCUUCUUCAGGCAAGCGAGCGGUGCCUUCAGCUUGAAUGACCACAGGAAGUUGUUUGCCUCCUUGAAGUGUGGGCCAACAGUCAAAAUCUUGCGCACAAGUUCCUAGAUGUAGAAGAUGUUGUGCUUCCCCAAACCAUGCGGAGAACACAGAAAUCUUGAUCAACUUGAUAUGGCUCUCGCUGAGGGUCAUUUUGUCUUCAUCGUGUCAUAGGCAUGGUGCUCGCGACCACUUACCAAAGCUGUUGGACUGUAGUUAAUUCAUCGGUAUUACACAGCAUGGGCCCAUCGAAGUCUGUGCUUCUAGAGUUUACAUUUUUCUUGUGACACCAGAGUUAAGUUUUGACUCAUGACCAAGAGCAACACCGCAAAUCUUGACAUUAAUUAUGUAGUUGCUGCUUCAUGAUACAUGAAUUUAAUUUUGCCAAUCUAGCUGAGUGGACAUGUCCAUAAGGUCGAGAUGAUCGAACUUUAUCUACAUAUAACUUGGAAUAAUAAGUGGCGCACAAAUAGCAUGUGCAUGAAUACUCUGAGAAUCAUAUUGUUUGCUUUUUCGGUGUUUCUUUGAGCUUGCAUACCCAUGAAGUUCUCCUCUUCUAAGCGAGUAAGUUGAUGUGGAGUAGCUGGGGCCAGAAGAUUUUAUAAGUAAUUACAUGUCCAAUGAUGAAAUAAAUUGGUAGUCCCCUGCUUAUCACAUGUGCCUGGUUGAAUAUAUUUCAUGUGCAUAAGCAUGCAUACAUAAGGUUGUGCAUUCAUGUGUGUUGGUGAAAUUUUAUUGUUACCGUUCCAGCACCACAUCAAGGUUUCAAAUUUUGAAUCCAUGCUUGCAGCAGAGAGUCGGCCCCUAGCAUCUCGAGGCGAUCGGUCGAUGUUGGGGAUAUUACCACUGGGCGUAAACCGGCUAGGAGAUGUCGGAUUAUCCCCAUGAUGGUUGCUUUAUUCAAAAGCCCAUGAAGACGUGAGGAUGGUGGCGCUUUAUGAAGGCCCAAGGCCCAAAGGCGGGUUAAGGCCUGUAGAUGUAAACCGACUUUCUCAUGUAACUUGCAUUGUAAGAUAGGAAGGAUAAAGACCGAGUUGGAUACGUUGACGAUCCGGCCUCGGGACUCUGUAAACCAACGGGCGUCGACCUAUGUAUAUAAAGGGACGACCCGGUGGCGGUUUAGGAACAACUCACAACAACAACUCGAGAGCCAGGUAAAGCGGAUUCGCUCCCUGGUCAUCGAAACCCCAGCAAUUUGAUCACAACUAGACGUAGGCUUUUACCUUCAUCAUAAGGGGCCGAACUAGUAUAAAACUCUCGUGUCCCUUGUCCGGUUUAACCCCUUUAAGCUAACCCAUAGCGAUGGCUCCACGACUAAGUCCUUUCAUGAGGACAUCUGUCAUGACAAAACCACGACAGUUGGCGCCCACCGUGGGGCUAUCGCACGAUGGUUUCGAGUUCUUGAAGGGUAGCUUCGAAGGGCUCAAGGGAUACACGGUGGGCCGGAUGACUAAAAGUCAUCGCGGCAAGCUCUAGAUCGACGAUGCAGGAUGGGGUCCCGAGGCCAGUUCAAUUGAAUACGGGUACCGGGUCCUCUUUAGUGGUAUUCACGUCUUCAUCGGCAAGAUUGGCGAACUGGGCCCUGAGCCGGACACCUGCACCGACAUCAUCGAGACGGCUCAGCGUGCAAGCCCUACCCAGGUUCAUCCCGCAGCAAGGCACGUUUUCGUAGGUGUCAUCCAUGGAGCGGAAUAUGAGGAUGGACCGGCAUCUGAUGGAGAAACCGUUGUCUGUUCUGAUGACGAGUCUUCAACCAGAGAGACCGAGUCGCUGUAUCAGCUGCAAGAUGGCCGGAUUAGUGGAGGUUCCAAUGGCAACAGUAUUCCAGACCCCCUCGAUCUGCUAAGCCAGGUCGUGGUCUUCAUGGCCGGUACACAACCAGCGCAACACUCUUCUACCGUAGCGGCAAUGAUCUCCGGUUCAGCAACAGCAACGCCAGCGGGAGCAGGGGGCUCGUCACCGCCUCCGGCUCAAGUUUUGUUCGAUCUGUUCGACACUUUAGCAACGUUACUAGCAGCAGAGGUGGACGCGGCAAACUGGGAUCGGCACAACACGAAUAUUGCAAAGGUGAAGGAUUGGAUAGGCUAAAGCGGACCUGGCGGCAGAGAACGCCAGGAUGGCUACAGAACGGGCCGAGUUAGAAGCUCAGGCCUACCGGCUUAGGCUGGAUCAGAGUGCCUCAGAUGAUGUGAUGAGGAGGAGAUACCGGUCGCACCUCCCUCCAGGUUAUGAGCCAAGAAAUCUCUUCAUCACGCCAGGAGCAGGAACCAGUAACCAGCUGGUCGUAAACCGGACUGAGGCACCGGUAACAGGAGCGCCGGUUCAACGCACGAUGGACCUGCCUCGUCAGAACAACAUUGUGUCAAAGCGCGUUCCGACGCCUCUGGGGCAUUACUCCAACCCAUUGGAUAACAUUGUGGCCGCCGCUUCAUGAUUGGCAGCUCUCCCGAUCGAAGGCGAGUAACCGGUGGCGGUUGAGACACGACGGGCUAGGGAACUCCUCCAAACAGCUUUAACCCAGCAACAGGCUUAUUCGCAUAGUCGUGAGAGGAUUCAUUCCACCACCCCCCUCCCAUCCAAGCCGGAGUUACAGCAGGCAUAUUGAUGAACCGGUUGUGUCAAGCAGUGCGCGGCACGGUAACCUGGCGGGUGGUGGAGCUAAUGCACAAGAUGUGGUGGAUCAUGGCCGAGCCCGUCGAGAGGCCGAGUUAGCAGCUCAACAUGCAGCCCGUCAGCCUACUCCGGUUCGUCCGACCAACUCAGUAGAACCAGGUGUGGUCUUUAGUUCUUUGGGGGUACCGUGCCUCACCCCAGCCUUGCGUAAUGUGCGACUGCCCAAGGAUUUUAAGGGCUCUCAUAAGGUGCCCAAUUACACUGCCGAUUUGCCCCCUGAGUCAUGGGUUGAGAGUUAUGAGAUGGCGAUGGAGAUGCUGGAUGUGGAUGAAGCGGUAUGUGCUAAGUAUUUCACCAUGAUGUUGGAAGGAACAGCUCAUACUUGGUUAAAGAGUCUACCAGCUAACUCCAUUGCGUCAUGGGCCGAGUUAAAGAGUCGGUUUAUCCAGAAUUUCAAGGAUACAUGUAAGCAGCCCAUGUCAAUUGUGGACCUAGCCGCUUGUGUUCAAGAGGAUGGGGAGUCUACGACCCAUUGGGUGAAGUGAGUCUCAGCUAUUUUGCAUUCAUCAGACCGCAUCAAUGCAGAUACAGCAGUUUUGACGUUGGAGGGCAACUGCCGGUCCAUGCCAUUAAAACUGAAGUUGGGAAGGCUCAAACGUCACUGUAAUGACAUGUCAACACUUAUGGCCGCUUUGGUUAAAUAUGCCGAUUCAGAUAGUACCAAGGACCCUGAUUCUGAAGAGGACAAACCAGGGAAAGGGAAAAAGAAUGGCAGUGCCAAGGGGCAGCAGCAUAACCCGGCAGGUCAUGGGAACAAUGGUAAGCACAAAGCGGACAAUAGCCUGGAUUUUGUGGCUAACACCAACGCCCAGGAUAAUAGUCAGCGUCAUAAGGGUAAACCGCCCUAGAGGGGUGGAGGGUCAGGCCCAAAUCUGGAGCGCCUACUAAAUCAACCUUGUCCAAAGCAUGGAUCAAAGGAGAAGCCAGCUUCGCGUCUUUGGAAGGAUUGUUUCAUCAUGCGAGAGUUCAAGAAUUCCAAUAUGUUUCGAUACGAAAAUGGCCCGCCCGGCGGUUCAGGAGGCAGUUUUCAUGGACCGGGUUACGGAGGUAGCAGCUCCGGUUCAGGAUUCUAAGGCAAUCAGAUCGGACAUGGCAAUCAAGGUAAUCAGGGCAAUCAGGGAGGUUAUAACCAUCAGGGGAAUCGGCAGCAGCAGUAGUCGGGUUAUCAGAGCAAUCCGAAGCAGUUGAAUAGUGGGAAGUAUCAUGUCUUUACCACUAGCUUGUGUAAGCAUGAUCAAAAGCUUCACAAAAGGGUCGUGAACUCUGUUGAACCGGCGGUACCUCAGUAUUUGCGCUGGUCUGAACAACCCAUUCUAUGGAGUCGAGAGGAUCACCCACCCCGGGUUGAUAAUCCGGGUCAUCAGGCCUUAGUGGUGGCACCUCAAGUUGGGGGGUGUAAGUUCACCAAGGUGCUUAUGGACGGGGGGAGCAGUAUCAAUAUCCUUUACUAUGAUACAUUCCGCCGUAUGGGAUUGACAGAUAAGAGUCUUAAACCGUCGAACACCGUUUUUCAUGGUGUGGUGCCUGGUAAAUCGGCAUAUCUAGUGGGCAAUAUAGCCCUAGAGGUGUCUUUUGGAGAUGAUCAUGAUUCAAGGUCAGAAACGUUGACUUUUGAGGUGGUGAAAAUCAAGAGUCCGUAUCAUGUCAUGUUCGGACGACCGGCUUAUGCCAAGUUCAUGGCGAGGCCGUGUUAUGUUUAUCUACAGCUUAAGAUGCCGGGUCAUAAGGGGACCAUCAAAGUACAUGGGAGCAGGAAGAUUGCUUUGGAAUGUGAAGAGGGUGAUGAGGCUUAUGCUGAGUCAGUUUAUGCCACAGAGGAGCUGAAGUUUUAUAAGGACAAUGUUGAUCCGGCAGAUAUGACUUCUCUGAAGAAGCCAACUACAGAGCAUGAUCCGGCACUGAAAUUUAAAUCAGCUGUAGACACUAAAAUAGUUGAUUUUGUUCCUGGUGAUUCAUCUCAGCAGUUCAGCAUUAGCGCUAACCUGGAUCCCAAAUAGGAAAGCGUGCUCAUCGAGUUCAUCUGUGAGAACCAGGACAUCUUUGCAUGGAAGCCUUCUGACAUGCCAGGUGUACCGAGGGAACUCGCUGAGCACACCCUUAACAUAGAUCCUAAGUUUAAACCGGUCAGGCAGUUUCUCCGCCGCUUCAACGAAGAGAGGCGUAAGGCUAUUGGAGAGGAGGUAGCCCGGCUUUUGGUAGCAGGGUUUAUCGUGGAGGUCUUUCACCCUGAGUGGCUGGCUAAUCCGGUACUAGUUCUUAAGAAAAACGACACUUGGCGGAUGUGUGUGGACUACAUGGACUUGAACAAGGCUUGUCCAGCUGACCCCUUUGCUCUCCCUCGUAUUGAUCAAAUCAUUGAUGCUAUGGCGGGGUGUGACCGUUUGUGUUUUCUGGAUGCUUAUUCUGGUUAUCAUCAGAUCAAAAUGGCAGUUAAAGACCGGGAGAAGACAUCUUUCAUAACUCCCUUUGGAGCCUUCUGCUAUGUAUCUAUGCCUUUUGGGCUCAAGAGUGCCCGGGCGACUUAUCAGCGUUGUGUUCAGAAUUGUUUUCAUAAGUAGAUUGGGCGCAAUGUUCAUGCAUAUGUGAUGACAUUGUGGUGAAAUCUAGGAAGGAGGAAACACUGAUAGAUGACUUGAAGGAAACCUUUGAUAACCUCUGGGUUUAUAAGAUGAUGCUUAAUCCGGCCAAAUGUGUCUUUGGUGUUCCGGCAGGCAAGCUCUUGGGUUUUCUGGUGUCUAACAGGGGCAUUAAGGCUAAUCUGGAGAAGAUCACAACUAUCACCUCUCUGGCUAAACCGGCAUGUAUCAAUGACGUUCAACGUUUAGCGGGCUGGAUUUCGGCUUUGAGCUGGUUUAUCAGUCGUCUUGGGGAGAAGUCUAUCCCUUUAUAUCAGAUGCUAAAGAAAACAGAUGACUUUGUCUGGAGCGACGCGGCUGAUAAAGCGUUUGAGGAUUUGAAGAGACAGUUAGCUGAACCGCUAGUCCUUGUAGUUUCGGUCGAUAAAGAGCCCUUAUUGCUAUAUGUGGCUGCUAAUGUCCGGGCUGUUAGUGUGACUAUUGUUGUGGAGCGCAAGGAGGCUGGAAAGGAGUAUCCGGUUCAGCGGCCAGUUUAUUAUACCAGUGAGGUGCUUAUUGAGUCGAAGCAGAGGUAUCCGCAUUGGCAGAAGCUGGUGUAUGGGCUUUUCAUGGCAAGCCGAAAGCUCAAGCAUUAUUUUUAGGGUCAUCCUAUCACAGUGGUCAGUUCAGCCCCUCUGGGAGAUAUCAUUCAAAACAGAGAAGCAACUGGCCGGAUUACCAAAUGGGCUAUUGAGCUUGGACCUCACGGGAUAAAAUAUACGCCUCGCACAACAAUCAAAUCCCAAGAACUUGUGGACUUCAUCAAUGAUGGGACAGAGUUGCAGGCACCGGAGGAAAAGCCAGAUAACACAUAUUGGACCAUUCACUUUGAUGGGUCUAGACAGUUGGAGGGCUCGGGGGCUAGAGUCAUAUUAACUUCCCCACGAGGUGACAAGUUUUGUUAUGUUCUCCUCUUAAUGUUCCCUUGCACUAACAAUGCAGCUGAGUAUGAGGCCUUACUCCAUGGUCUGAGGAUGGCUAAGGAGAUGAACUUAAGCCGGGUUAAGUGCUUCGGUGACUCGGACCUGGUGGCUCAGCAGGUAUCUGGCACUUGGGAUUCUAAGGAUCCACUCAUGGCUGCAUAUCGAUGAGAGGUGGACAUAGUGGCUGGUCAUUUCAAGGGUUAUCAAGUUGACCAUAUAGACCGGCGAAAGAAUGAGGCGGCGGACGCUUUAAGUUGUCUAGGCUCUCAGCGUAAACCGGUGCCACCUAAUGUCUUCCUUGACGUACUUCAUAAUCCUCGGUCAAGAUACCCAUAGAGGAGGAGUUGGCUAUUCCUGACCCGGAGGCCCAGUUGGUGGCGGCUUUGCAUGUUAUACCAGAUUGGACAGUCCCGUACCUGGCUUACAUGAACCGAGGCGAGUUACCGGAUGAUGAAACCUUGGCCCGACAGAUAAUCCUGCGAUCCAAGUCAAUGACCGUUAUCAAUGGGGAGCUACAUCAUUACAGUGUCAUAGGAGAAAUUCAGCGUUGUGUGUCUCCUCAAGAGGGUUGUGAGAUUUUGCGAGAAAUCCAUGAAGGAGAUUGUGGUCACCACGCCGGUUCAAAAUCCUUGGUGGCUAAGGCUUUUCGUCACGGCUUCUAUUGGUUGACGGCUCAUGCUGAUGUUGAGGAUUUAGUAAAAAGGUGUGACGGUUGUCAAAAAUUUGCACACCGCGCUCAUGUUCCGGCUCAAGAGUUGAGAAUGACUCCAAUCACUUGGUCGUUUGCAACUUGGGGGCUAGAUAUGGUUGGACCUUUUAAGAGGUCCAAAGAUAAGAAGACCCACCUCUUAGUGGCAGUUGAUAAAUUUACCAAGUGGGUAGAGGCAGAACCAGUCAACAAGUGUAAUGCGGCCAUGGCGGUUCAAUUCAUCAAAAAGGUGAUAUUCCGGUUUGGUUUUCCACACAGCAUCAUAACUGAUAAUGGUACUAAUCUAUCCAAGGGUGCGAUGGAGGAGUUUUGUCAAUGAGAGCACAUCCGACUUGAUGUGUCAUCAGUGGCUCACCCUCAAUCUAAUGGUCAAGCAGAAAGGGCAAACCAAGAGAUCUUGAGAGGAAUCAAAACCCGGCUUAUGGUUCCUUUAAAGCGGACGCCGGGUUGUUGGGUGGAGGAGUUACCUUCCGUAUUGUGGAGUAUCAACACCACACCAAACAGAUCUACGGGUUACACGCCUUUCUUCAUGGUUUAUGGAGCAGAUGCGGUUCUCCCUAGUGACAUCCGUCAUGACUCGCCCCGUGUGGCGGCUUACGUUGAAGCUGAAAAUGAGAAGGCACAUCAGGACUCACUGGACCUAUUAGAUGAGGAGCAUGAUCUCGCAGCGGCGCGGUCGGCGAUUUAUCAACAAGAUCUUCGACGUUAUCACAGCCGCCGAGUUAAGACCAGAACUUUUCAAAAGGGCGAUCUGGUGCUCCGGCUCAUCCAGGAUCAGACUGACAUGCACAAGUUAUCCCCGCCUUGGGAAGGACCUUUUGUGGUCAGCAAAAACCUGCACAACGGGUCAUACUACUUUAUCGAUGUUCGAGAGCACAAAGACUCACGCAAAUCGGAGGAGGUGACCCAGCGGCCAUGGAAUAUAGCUCUUCUUCGGCCUUACUAUACUUGAGCCACAGGCUCUUCUUAUGUACAUACUUAUGAUAAUGUAUAUAUUAUAUAAUAAACCAGAGCCUCAGCUAAAGCGGGGUAUCUGUUAUUUUUUACAUCGUGUGUGGUUACAUGGGGGCUUCUACUUAUAAAGCGGAGUUCUACUAACCCGGUUUAUGAAGCUACACCGAUAUAAAGGAAAUCACUAGGGGGCUUGGUCGUAUUCGAACCAUAGCUACACCUCUUGAUCGGCUUAAGGCAAAAUAGGGAAAUCACUAGGGGGCUUGGUUGAAUUUACACCAUAGCUACACCUCUUGAUCGGCUUAAAGCCAAAAGGAAAUUAUGUGGAACCAAAGAGAGUCUAUUGCAUAAAGCACAACUCAAACAUAGGUAACCACUGAGCAUAGCUCAAACAUUACUUGGGGGCUCCUUGCUUCUCAAAGAACAACGAGAUUGCACCCUUGUAAUAGGCUAUCAAGCUAGGCUUGGAAGCCAAGUGUAUUCACCUAAAACCCUGGGUUAUCCUGCCUCUUUAAGUAAGCCACUCCGUCCAGGUAAACCUGGUAUGACCCAUCGAACGUUUGACAAGUCAAUCUCAUAGACCCUGAACUUGUCAAAGUUAAAACGAUGAUUGGUUAAAUAUUGAGGUCCAUAUUAAAAGGCUUUGAAAAAUGUUUUAACUCAGCAGCCUGGCAGCCCAUGAAAAGCCUCGAUUUAGGUCCUGGCAGCCCAUGAAAAGCCUUGCAUAUUUCUUUUGUAUUUGUUGUUUUAAACAUCUUUUGAUAAGGGAUUUAUGAAUAUUUUUUGAUAAACCGGUGUUUAUUACAACCCGGCAUGGCUUUCAACACUAAGUUGUCAUUACAUGGUCGGUUUUAAUCCGGCAAUAAUAUUGCUCCGGUCUGGUUUGACUACAGUUCACCACAAUUAUAUGCAUAAACCGGUGUUUACCAUCACCCGGAAAGAUUUUGGUAUGAACCGACAAGGAUGCAAGGAGUCAUCAACACUCCAGAUUGGUGUUAUCAUCUUUUGUUAUAACAACAGUUGGUAAGCCAAACGAGAUAUACCACAGGUAUCAUCUAUUGUAUAUCUAUAUAUUACAGCCUUGGUUCGGCAUCCAGGUUAUAUAUAUGCUUGGGCACCAUGACCCGUCCAGCGGUAAACCGCUAGGACACUUUCAAUUUUUUUUGCAGGAAUAAGAUAAAUAAAGCCACUGUGGAUUAUGCAUAUAAUAGAUCCCAAAAGCAUGGCGAGUUAUCAAUGUCAAGCACAACAAGUAUGCUCGAUGGCAUAAGCAGAUAAGUAUUUGAACUAGCCUAUUACAAGGCGCUUUAGUGCCCACACAGGAUAAUUGUUUCUACAAGUUUGGCAAAUGAUUAAACCGGCUUCCGGAUUACGAUUCUUCAUCCGGAUAGCUUGAAGAUUGAGGGUCAUCUUGAGCGGGUGCAUUCUCCUCAUCCCUACCCAGUCGCUGGAAAUCAAUCAUUGACCAAUCAAUUCCAGUUAAAGCUUGAAAAUGGCUUCUUCAUGAAUAAGGUUGGAAGGGUCAAUGUCAGGAGCGUAAGUGUGCUUACGGAUUGGCGGAACAAGAUCUUCUACAUUAUGAAUCGGCGCGGGCUGUCUUUUCCCCUCAACAUCGUAAACCGGUUGAUAAUGAGAUAGAUUUAUGUCAUCCGCCAAUUUGCUUGCUAUAGGCCGCAUUUCCUUUGUCAGCCUUCGGAGAUCAUCGUUGUUGAAUUCGGUGCCAUCUUUCUUCACGCUGGGGUAGCCUUGGCCGAUAUCUGCCGGUUCAAGAUCUGGAAUCCACGCCUUGGCCCGGAUUAGUACGGUCAGCGCACCUGACCUUGCGGCUGAUCUCUUCAGUUCAUCCAACCGGGCAGGCAGCUUGGCCAGCUUUUCGAUGGUCUCUUUUAUCAGCGCUGGAGGAGGUUUGUUAUAAGAUGCAGUGCAAAUGGCUCGCUGGGAUCCAGAAUACAGCUGUUCUAUCAAAGUAUAGGUCGCUUUAAGUUUCAUCCGCAUGUAGGAGCCCAGAUGAGUAAUCCGUGUCCCUGUCAUGGUAAAGCGUCAGUAAUCCGGCCUUUGAUAAGAUAUUAUGGAUUGGGAAAACUUCAUAUGAGGAAACUCACCAAAUACAGUAGAGGUCAUGGCAUUAAUAUGCCGCUUUAAGCCGGUCAGUUCUUCAACCAUCGGCUUCAAGGCUGCUUCUGCAUCUUCGGCCUUCUUUGUCAAACCGGACUUCUCGGCAUCCUAGUAUGCACGUUCCUUCUUAAAAUUUUCUUUCAGCUUCUCCAUGGCUGCUAAGGCUUUAGUCAGUUCCUCCUUGGCUUUGGCAGCUUCCACUUGCUGAGACUCGAUGUUGUCUUGAAGAUCAGCGGUUUGGGAGUCCUUUUUGCUCAGCUCAGCCUGUAAAGGAAUGACAUAUCAUCAGUGGGAAGUAUAUAUUUGAAGUACCAAGCACAUAACAAGUUAUGCACUUUGUACUUGGGGGCUAAUGCCUAUUUUCUCUGUUGUCAGAAAUUUUUACAAGUCCCAAAUACAAUGCAAACAUUAUCUGUGGCACUUGGGGGAUAAUGUACAUCUGUUGAAAGUUGAAGCAUUGAUUAAAGAGCCAGUUUACCUUGGAAAGAUAAACCGGCCCUUGGGGGAAACACAGAUGAAAACUACAGGAAUACAACGAUAAAGUACCGGUUUAUUUCAAAGGAUCACCUGGCAUAUGGAGGAUAAGUAUGCAAGGGUUGAGAUAUUACAAAGUCCCCAUUUAUGAUUGCUAUCAUAAACCGGCCCUUGGGGGCUACUAGAGUUGGUAUUUGCAAUUGGACUUAAGAAAGGAAAAGUUCUGUCAUUACCUCAUAGCGCUCCUUCAUCAGAUUCACCAAACCGGCUUCAUAAUCAUGGUUUGUGUGCAGACAGUUUAGAAAGCCAGAGUGGAGUUCUUGAGCACUGAAGUGGGCAUAGCUUGAUAAAUCGGUGCUCCACUUGCCUUUCUCCAUGGCAGCACGUUCUUCUUUGGCACUAUGUUUUGCCAAUACAACAGGUUGGCCAGGAGAGGUGUGGCCAAUACCGAUAAUGAUAACCUCAUAUUCUUUAUUUCCAACAGCCUUUUCUGGAGUUGAUGGAGUAUCGGUCAUCUUCACUGGACUAGAAGAUCCGUCAUCAGCCUGGAUUGGACUGGCUGGUUUAUCAUCUGGCACAGCGGUAUCAACUUCUGUUUGCUCAUUCAAAUCAUGAUCCGAAGGGGGUGGUUCAUGAACAACGGUGUCUACAUGAGGACCUUCCAGUUCAGUGGUUUGCUCCGGUUCAACAACCAAUUCUUCAGACGGUUUAUUCACCCAAGUUUUCUUGUUGGGUCUAGCCUUGGCUCUAAAAAGGACAAGAUGCAAGGAUGAAAAUAGCAUGCAAAUACAAAGAGUCAAAAGAUUCAGUUAAAACUUACCCAGCAAUGGUCUUAAGGGGAGGGAGUUGUGUUGUUGUUGACUCGCCAGAGGAUGAAGGAGGUGUCACCUAAUAAUUUGAAUCAGACGGAUUAAGAGGUUGUCGGUAAUAGCCGGCCUUGGGAUAAGAAGUUUCAGAAGUGGGUGAGACCUCAGUUCGGCAUUUCCGGACCAGGGUAUUCGGUAAACUGGUCGAAGUGAUCGUUUGACCGUUGUGUCGGGUUGUGCGGCGAGCCUCGUGUUGCUGCUUCUUCAAAAUAAAUGUUGGAUCCAAGUGAGCGAGAGGGUGAGAAAAUCUUACUUUCCAGACUGCUUGACGGAUUUUUUGUAUUGGCAGAGAGUCUGAACCGGAGGAAAGGAUAAUUACCUCUGCAUCGUCAGCUUGGCUGCCCUCAACGUCCUCCUGAUAAAUAUCAUUGUCAAUAAGAUGCAUGAAAAGUGAACCAAGUGAAUCAAGUUCUACCUCUGCGUCCGGUUCGUCUGGGUCGUCAUCAAGCUCUAAACUGAUGGGUUCAGGCGCUUUUCUCUUCAUGGUUUUCUUGACAGCUUUUGUUUUAGGAAGAGAAGGCUUCACCGCUUUCUCUUGAGGUUUGUUUUUCCAGAACAGAUCAUCACCCUGUUUAAAAAUGGGAAGAGGGUGUCGUGGAAUUUUCACGGCAGAUGUCCUUAGUGUCAGGACUUAGUCGCGAGGCCAACGCAUCUAUGUGGCAGCUUGAGAGGGGUUGAGUGGGACGAGAGACACAAUGUUUUACCCAGGUUCGGCCCCUCACGGUGGAGGUAAAAGCCUACAUCCUGCUUCAUUGAUAUUGAUGAUGAUCGCGGUUACAAGAGUGCUCUAUUUCGAGAGCUAUUGUCUAAACCUAACUUGUCCAACUUGUGGAACUUGUGAAUCUUAUCCCUUUUGGGGAGCCCUGCCCCUCCUUAUAUAUGUUGGAGGGGCGGGUUACAUGUAGAGUCCUAUUAGGAUUAGGACUAGUCUAUCUCUAAUACAAACCGGAUAUAAGUCCAGGUCUUAACUCCUUGUAGGACAAAUAUUCCUCAUGCCUUUCCUCUUAAACCGGCCCACCGUUAAACGUGAACCGGCCUUCUAGGCCUUGGGCCUUGUCAUCCAUCUGUCCCGCCCGCCGGAUCACCAGUGAGUCAUAAUGACCAGGUGGGUUGCUUGUAGACCGCCAGGUCAGGGCGGGUUGCUAGUAACUCACCAAGUGUCAGCGGGGUCUUCAGAUAAACCGCCAAGUCCUGGCCGGGUUAACUUCCGGCCGGUUUACGCCGCGGGGUAUAUCCCCGACAUUAGCCCCCAAGUUUAGCUUGGAUUUAUUCAUGGUAAACUUAUGCUGCAAAAUAAACACAAGAACAAAUUUGACAGGUUAUGCUCCGGGUUAAGAAUUUUUGUAAACCGGUACCUGAUCAUCCUUAAGUCCUUGUUAUUUCCUCCUUCUAAGAAAUCCGGGUCAACAGACCAGCUUCAUAAUCAAUUUGCCGACCUUGGUUUGUCACCGAGAAAUAUCGUGAAGAAUAACUCCUUUGACUCAGCUCCCGAAGCGCCGGUUUAAGAAACAUGGGUCUGAAAAUACUUAUCUGAUAUUCAACCGGUUUGAAGACUUAAAACUUGCCGGUUUAAUAUUACCAAAAUAGCCAGUUUAUAAAUAUUGAUGGCGUCGGGUCAUAAUUGUUGUCGACACCGGGUCAUGUAAUUGAUCUUCCUGAUUUGCUCAAAACUGAUAAAAUGAAGAUGUUCCUCCUUUAUAUGCAUAAUACCUGUAGCCCCCAAGUCUUAAGAGGAGAACAUAGUGAUAACUUAAGACUUGCUCCAAUAAGUGUUUCAACCUUGAAGAAAUCCGGUUUGUUCAUCUCAAUCAUAUAAACUGAAUACUCCAUAUAUGUAGCCCCCAAGUGCCGGGUUGUCAUGCUUGCAGCAACCUGGGACUUGUAAUUGCUUAUAAAAACUUCAAUCAGUGUAACCCCCAAGGGCCGGGUCAUUAUGCAAUAAUGAGCAGGAACUUUGUAAAUAUAAUUAUAUAGAUUUUAGCAGUGAUGUGUAGCCCCCAAGGGCCGGCUUAGUAAGAUAAUACUGAACCGGGACUUGAUAUAUACUUCAAUGAAAAUAACAUCAUAUGAUGUAACUCCCAUCAUGGGGCUUGAACCCACGUCCACAUGGUUAAGAGCUUUGUGCUUUACCAACUGAGGAGUGGACCCUUCAACAUAAUGGAUAAAAACUUGUGUACCUUGAAUUGUUGACAGGAGCAAUUGGUAGCCCCCAAGGGCCGGCUCAUUAUAAUAUGAUGAGUCGGGUCUUCAGUAAGACUAAAAAUGACUUGGCAUUAGCCCCCAAGUGUCAUGAUGCAUGCUUGCAGCGACAUGAGACUUGCAUGUAAUCUCGAUUUGAAUAAUGUAGCCCCCAAGUGCCGGGUUGUAAGCCUGCAGCGACUCGGGACUAUUCCUUCCAUUGUAGAAUAAAUCAUAUCAUUUGAUAAAAUAAUAACCAUUGCGCUAAAGCGACUUUGAAAACUCAAUAAUACCGGUUAUUAAUAACCAAAAAAAUCCAGCCAUGUUGGCUAUUCAAGAUAAUAUAAUCCGGUAUGAAAACCUUAUUCAUUCAAUAUCAUAAUGAAAAUCCAGCCAAGUUUGGCUAUUUGAAUAAUAUAACCCAAUGAUUUAUAAGCGCAUGAUUCCAAUGGCGCAAUCCAAAUAUAUAUACUGGCGACUUAUAGUCCAAAGCCAGGCCGGUUUAACAAACCUGUUUCUGCAUACAACAAGUUUAAAGUGUCCUAGCGGUUUACCGCCGGACGGGUCAUAAUGCCCAACAUAUAACCUGGGUUUAUAACCAAGGCUGCACUUUAAAAAUAUGAAAUAUAUCAUACCUGUGACAUUGAAUCACAUUGUUGGUUUACCAACUUUUUGUAGUAAGAGUGAUAACCCCAAUCUCGAGUACUGAUAACUCUUUCCAUAUUGUGCCGGUUUAUAAUAAAACCAUACCGGGUUAUGAUAGACACCGGAUUAUCCAUAUAUAAUACUGGCGACUUGUAGUCGAACCGGACCGGGUUAAUAAUCGCCGGAUUAUAAUUGGUCAUGUACUGACAACUUGUAGUUGAAGGUCGAGCCGGGUUGAUAAACACCGGUUUACUCCAUAAGAGGAUGUUAAGAACAAGGAUCAAACCGGGCAAAUAGUCUCCGGAUUGACGUGAACUAUGUUUCGUCAAUUGAUUGGUUGAAAACUUUGUCGGUUUUAAAAAAACACAAUAAAAAGGAAAAAAGUAUCUUGCAAAGAAAAGUGUGAAGCAAAAGCAAUGACAAAAUCGUUUGCAAAAAAGAUUUAUUUUAGCUGAUCAAAUGGCGUUACCAUGGCCGAACACGACCAAGCUCCUGUUAGGGGUAACUAUGGUUCUAGUCAGCUAGGUCCCCAAAUGAAACCAUGGCAUUUAUGCCGACCAAGUGGCAUGGCAAUGGUUCGGGUUCGACCAAGCCCCCAAGUGAUUCUGUGGCCUUAGGCCGAUCAAGAGGCAUGACUGGUUCAAACAUGACCAAGUCCCCAAGUGAUCUGGUGGCUCUCGCCUAUCAAGAGGUAUUGUAUUGGUUCGGACACGACCAAACCCCCAAGUGAUAUGAUGCUUUUGAAAAGCUAACUCAAGGGGUAAACCAGAGGCCGCUUUAGAACAACUCCGUGUAACCACACAUGAUGUAAAAGAACAGAGACCCCGCUUUAUGAAGCAGAAGCCCCCAUGUGAAUAAUAAUAUAUCAGGCCAGUAAGGCGGGAUACCAAUGUUUGAACCGCGCAUCGUGGCAGCAGGUCCUCUUCGGCAAUUUUUAACUUUUUGCAAGAGAUAAAUUCUUCUUGAACCGGGAUCUUGAACCGGGUAUUGAGAGCUUCAAAGCUUUGUGGGAGACAUCUUUCCCUUAAACCGGAUUUUAAACCGAAAUCUUCAUUUUCAGCCAGAAAAUUUUCUGACGACCUUUAAACUCGAGUUUGCGAGAAGUUAAUUCCUUUUUGAACCGGACAUUGUUAAACUGGAUUUGAGCGCUCCAGAGCUUUGUGGGAGAACAGAUUUCCCUUGAACUGGGCUGUAAACCGGAUAUUUGAGAGCUGCAGUCAGACUGACUUCCCUUGAGCCAGAUUUUACACCGGAAUCCUUUCUGAUGACCUGGAUCUUAUUCAUUGAGCCGGGAUUUUGUAACUGUCAUAUACUUUCUAAACCGGAAAUUUUCUGACGGCCUUUAAACUUUCAUCAAUAUAACAGUAGCCUCCAGGACUGGGUUAUCUUUCCCUCCAUCAUCCUGGGGUUCUUAAACCGGCUGAAACUGGCAAGAUUUGCUGAGUCAUGUCAUCGUAGCCCCCGAGUCUCAGAGGUGACUCAAGGAGUUGGCUUGAGACUCUCCAUAUUUGGCCGUGAUAUAAACCGGCAUAACGUGUAUAUCAUUGGCGUUGAUAGCACGAUGUAAAUCCAUAGAAAGUUGAGGUGACUACGGCGGGUUGUAAAUGAUCCCAUAUGAGCCGUGUCAGCAACUCGGCCAAUGGUUCCUUCCAACUGGCGAUUUGAAGUUAACCAAAACUGUAGUGGCGGUGACUUGUGCGCCUGCCCAUUGAACCAUCCAGUGCAAACGGCGGUUGAUAAUAAUUUGUCUCCAAUUUGAAAGAAAACCGGGCUACCCAAGCUGUGACUUACUCAUACCCAAUAAACAGCUAAUGCGGACAGGUGUUGUAACUGUAACAUCCCAAAUUUUCAAUUUGGAAUGUUAUACAUUAGAUCAUCAUGCAUAUCAUAUUUUAUUUUGAUUUUGGUUUUGAUCCUAGAAAAUCCUAAGCAACUCAAGGACCCACGGAGAGAGUUGGGGAUUUCGUUAUUUACAUAUUUGAGUUUUCUCAAAUUUUGUAAACAGGAUCAUUUGAUUUUAUUUAUUUUAUCAUCAAUUAUUUCUAUUACAAAAAUAUGAGAGAGGGAAUAAAAUGACUUUCCCAAAAUAUAGAAAUAUUGAGGAUUUAAUAAAAAAAUCAAAUAAGAUUUAUUUCGGAGUUUUUCGGUAUUUUUAUUUGAAUUUAGGAAAAAUGCGCGUUUUUCAAAAUUGCAUUUAGGGCCCAAAUAAAAGUUCACUUUAUCGGGCUUGAUUUUAGAAACCCGGGAAAAUUUAUUUUAGGAUUUUUGGAGUCCGUUUAGUAUUUCUUUUUAUUUUUUUUCCGAGCAUAAUUCUUUAAAAAAAAGAGCGGAACCGACUAUGGGCCGUACUCGGCCAGGACUCCCCUGGCCGGGGCCUUUAUAAGCCGGGGCAAGCCAGCCCGAAGGCCAGCCGCCCCGAAACCCUAGGCCCAGCCGCCGCCGCCGCCCCGCCGCCGAUUCCGCCGGAGCCGCGCGUCGCCCGAGGUUUGCCGCCCUCGAAAUCCGUGCCUUUUUUUAGGAAAAAAAAUUCCGUUCGUCGUUUUCUUUUUCGUCGGAUUUUUCCGCGGUUAUUUUCUGAUCGCGAUUUCUGAUCCGAUUUACGUUUUAGUAUAACUUUUCGCUCGUUUAUCGGAAUCAGGCGAUUCAAGCGCCUUGAGUUUCGUCUCGAAACCCUCUUUCCGAAUAAUCAACUUAAACAAGUUUUUGCUACAGUAAAACUUGACUUAGAUCCAGAUUACUAGAACGAAGUUGUUUUCUUUCGCUGUUUGAUUUCUUUUGCUUCGUUCGAUUUGAUUCUUUUUGCAAACCAGGGUUCUUAAGUUGAAAUUUCUGGUCAGAUCUUCUAUUUGAGUUUUACUUGUGCAUUAUAUGAGUACUAAUUGUAUGCUUGUUUGUUUGUCUGCGAUAGAAUACCCAGAGUGCGCCGCCUGUUACUUUGAAUCCCUAGGUUUUGCGGAUCAUCAGCAAGGCAAGUAACACUUUGAUCAUACCUUUUUCUACAACCCAGUUUUAUUGCAUUAGAUCAAUCCUCACACAUUGCAUGAUUAUGAUCUAAUUAAAUUGUGGGAUGGGAAGUAGAUGAGGUAGUAUCUAUUACCUGUUUAUUAUCAAACCUUUGGGAGUUAUUUUCUACGUUUGCUUAUCAUGCCAUGCUAUGCUAGUAGACGUGGAUUGGGUGAGUGAUAUCCAUGACAGAUGUGAGAUUGUUAAUUAAUGGUUUAUCUAAGGUGGCAACCUAAACACACAUCUGGGUGGAUUGAGGCACCUGGGUAUUCCAGGACUUGCCUGUUUUUCUUUGGACCGCCACCCAGGCUCAAAGGGAUCAUGAGAUUAUUCAUACUAGAAACUUCCAUGUGCAGCCACAAGCCAUUAUGGGCUCUGGCAUAGUUGAUUAAGUCAUGCGAACUCUUACAGGGUAGACUAGCAGAUGUAGGGGAUGUAGGUGGUACGGUCUACCCGAUCGUAAGGUGCUAGCGCUUCUGAAAGACUAUGUCUCGGUCAUCCGUUUCUCAAGCACCAUGUAGUGCGAGAAAUCCAACGGAGGCGAUCGAGUCUUGUGGGGAAAAGUGCGCAAACCUCUGCAGAGUGUAACAAACUAAUCAUGGUUAGCCGUGUCCCCGGUUAUGGACAUCUUGAGUAUCUAGUACCUGGAUUAUCAUGUGAAUCUCAACAUGUUACACAAAAGUAAAUUUUGUUGGGUUUAAUGAUGUUACUUUAAUUGGGAUUGAGAAUGCUGUAAACCAUUCUCAAUGUUUAACAAACACCAUGAUAGUAAUUAAAUUUAUUCCUUUGAAGUAGGGAAAAAUUGGCUUUACGCAAAAACCGUAACCAUAGAGCUUUCCACCAGCCAAAUAUGCAUAUAGUAUAGCUGUUGCAUUCCUUUACUCUCUAUGUGUUACCUUGCCAACAUAUUCCAUGUGCUGACCCAUUCUCGGGCUGCAACGUUAAUGUUGCAGACUUUUCAGACGACGAUUAAGGAGUUUUAGGUCGUGGUUCUAUACUCAGUGAUGCCGUUGGAGUUGAUGGACUCACUUAUCUUCCAAGCCUUCCGCUGUUAUCGUUAUUAGAUGGCCUUAAGCCAUAUCUAUUGUAAUAAGUUCUCUUUUGAGACACUCGAUGUAAUAAGUGUGUGAUUGCUACUCUGCUAUAAAUCCUUCGAGUACUGUGUGGUGUCAGCAUUACUGAUCCAGGGAUGACACCGGAGCACAGAGAUCAGACUGUUUGAGAUCUGGUCGCUACAGAGAUGGUAUCAGAGCACACGCUGACUGUAGGACACGACCACUAAGCUAAGAGACCUAGAUCACUACUCACUCUCUUCUCUUCUGACCUCUCAUCUUUUCUACUCUUUAGGAUGGCGGAUGCAAGGAACAAGUUCACACAACCAGAUGAAGAUACACCCUUUGGACGCCACUUGAAGGAAGUCACUAGGUACCUGAACCUAGGAAUACCAAGCUUCACGGGAACCUACAACGCCACUUUACCUGAAGAAGAGCGCUGGAUGAUUCAAGUUCAAGUUCCAGGAAGGACGUUCAUGCCAGUCAUUGAGCCCAUAGAGUUUUCUUUUGAUGCACCAACUUGGAGUCUAGGAAAGAGUAUGGCAGCUCACAUUGCCAUGGGACGCAUUGGAGAAGUCUACCGCAAGGAUCUCAAGGAUACUAUCUACCAGAUUUGUGGGCGCCGAGAUGAACACUAGGAGAUGAUCAGCACCAGGAAAGAUAGAUCAAUUGCAGCUUUUAUCCAAGAGUUAAACCAUCACAUUCAACGACAGGAGAAUCAGAUGUGCGCCGGCAUGAUAGAUCUGAAGAAGGCUAAGACUAGAAUCAAGGAACUGGAGGAAGAACUCAAGGCUACACGCGAAGAUUAUGAAGAAGAAAUUGAAGUAUUGGUGGAUAAGAAUGCCGACCUAACUAUGAAGCUAGCAGUAUUUAUGGGAGGCCCGACACCAGUAGAUGAAGACAAAGAACCCAAGGAGAUUAGCCCGGAAGACUACAUCAUCAUUGACGGCACCGACUCGGAACAAGAUAGUAGCAAUGAUGACUAUGUUGAUGAAGCAGGAGCAGAUAUCAUGGAGUCUACAACCGUAGAAUAUUUCUAGUAGACCACCUCACCAGUAGUAGUAGUCCACCAUGUAAAUUUAGUAGUCCGAGCACUUUUGCGACAGUUAGAUCGAUUGUAUGCCUUUGUUUGAUUGAAUGAAGUUAAUUGUUUGCUUUGCCUCCUGUGCAUAUGGGUAGUGUUUUCUCCUUAGACCCCCUCUAUUCUUAUAUCUCGUCUUUUCUAAACCCCCAGAUGCCUCUGAGAGGUGACCCCGAAUUUGCCUUUCCGUCGGAGCUCACCCAGUUGAUCCAGCAGCAGAACACUUUGAUGCAGUUGCUAGUUCAGAAUCAGAAUCAGGGGAACAACAACAACAACAACAACCCACCACCACCACCACCACCUGUUGACCACUUAGCCCGUUUUCUUAGGCUGAAUCUGCCGGUGUUUUCUAGUAGCACCGAGCCGAUAGUAGCAGAUGAUUGACUCCGCAAGAUAGAUAGGGAGUUGACCACAGCAGGAUGCACAGAUGCGGAGAAGGUUAAGUUUGCCGCACAUCAUUUAGAAGGACCCGCAGCAUCCUGGUGGGAGAAUUUCACAGCCACCUUCCCAGUCGACACUGUCACAUGGGACCAGUUUCAGCAGGCUUUCCGUACUGCCCAUGUUUCAGCAGGAGCAAUGGCCAUGAAGAAGCGUGAGUUUCGUAACUUGCGCCAAGGAGGACGGACAGUUGGCCAGUAUGUGGAGGAGUUUAGUAAGCUAGCACGUUAUGCCCCAGAUGACGUUGCUACGGAUGCAGCUAAGCAGGAGAAAUUCCUGGAAGGAUUGAAUGAUGAGUUGAGUAUGCAGUUGAUGGUAGCCACCUUCAACAACUACCAGGAGUUGGUAGAUUGCGCUCUUAUGAUUGAAGGGAAGCAACAGCAAAUUGAGAACCGCAAGAGGAAGUAUGGACAAGAAAAGUAUAAUUCAGGAGCUCAGCAGAAGCCACGUUUUACCCCUAGACCGGGAGGACAUUUUUAGCAUACCCAUGGAGUAGGUAGCUCGCACAAUCACAAUGGCACCAAGAAUGGUAAUGGGAAUGGAGGAAGCAAUGGCCAGAACCGCAGCACCCCAUCAACCCCAGCCAAGAGAGAUCUGAGUCAAGUCACCUGUUUUAAGUGUUCCAAGACCGGACAUUAUGCCAAUGAAUGUCCUGAAGGCCAAAACGGUAAUGGAAGCUCUGGAAAGAAGCCGAACCCUUUCAACAGGGGACAGGUGAACCACGUUAAUGUGGAGGAGGUUGAAACUCAGCCCGAUGCAGUAAUAGGUAAGUUUUUGGUUAAGUCAUUUACUGCACUCGUUCUUUUUGAUACUGGUGCAUCGCAUUCCUACAUCUCAAGGGGAUUUGUGGAUAAGUAUAACCUACCAACCCAAGCCCUUAGGUCACCCACAUUAGUAACCUCGCCAAGAGCAGAGUAUGUGGCUAGUCUAUGGUGUGAUCGGUUACCAUUAAGGAUUGGUAACUAUGUUUUUCCCUCAGACCUAGUAGUAUUGGAAUCUCAAGGAUUGGAUGUGAUAUUAGGCAUGGAUUGGUUAUCAAAGUAUGAAGGGAAUAUUGAGUGUGCUAGUAAGUCAAUUUUGCUUACCACACCAGAAGGGAGAAGGAUCAAGUAUGUAUCCCGGCAUGUGCCAAAGAGGACCCAAGUAAAUUGCCUAACAGGAGUUGUGCAGGAGGAAGUACCAGUGGUAAGGGAUUUCCCUGAUGUAUUUCCAGAAGAGUUGCCAGGCAUGCCACCAGAUAGAGAUAUUGAGUUUUUGAUUGAGCUAUUGCCAGGCACUGGGCCAAUAUCAAAGAGACCAUAUAGGAUGUCAGCAAAAGAUUUGGUGGAAAUUAAGAAGCAGGUUAAGGAGUUACUGGAUAAGGGAUAUAUUCGCCCAAGUUCUUCGCCUUGGGGAUCACCAGUACUUCUAGUGGAGAAGAAGGAUGGAUCGUUAAGAAUGGUUGUUGAUUAUCGAGGAUUGAACGAAGUAACGAUCAAGAACAAGUACCCGCUACCAAUGAUCAAUGAUCUGUUUGAUCGAUUGCAAGGGGCUAAAGUAUUUUCCAAGAUCGAUUUGCGAUCAGGAUACCACCAGUUGAAGAUUCGAGAACAGGAUAUUCCGAAGACAGCUUUUACCACCAGGUAUGGGCUGUAUGAGUAUACCGUUAUGUCAUUUGGUCUAACUAACGCGCCUGCCUAUUUUAUGAACAUGAUGAACAAAGUGUUUAUGGAGUUUUUGGAUAAGUUCGUCGUAGUGUUCACUGAUGAUAUCCUGGUUUAUUCAAAGAAUGAAGAGGAACAUAAGGAGCAUUUGCGUUUGGUACUUGGAAAGCUCAGAGAACAUCAAUUAUAUGCCAAGUUCAGCAAAUGUGAGUUUUGGUUGAAGGAAGUAGGAUUCCUCGGACACGUUAUAUCCGGAGAAGGUAUAGCAGUAGAUCCCGCUAAAGUUGAAACCGUGACCAAGUGGGAAGCCCCAACUACUGUUGGAGAGAUCCGGAGUUUUCUUGGACUCGCAGGAUACUACCGGAGAUUUAUUGAGAACUUCUCAAAGAUUGCGAAGCCUAUGACGGAGUUGCUGAAGAAGGAUACUAAGUUCAAAUGGACUGAGGAGUGUGAGGCUAGUUUCCAGGAAUUGAAGAACCGUUUGGUUACCUCACCAGUGUUGAUUUUGCCAGAUCAGACCAAGGAUUUUGAGGUGUAUUGCGACGCUUCACGUCGAGGACUUGGAGCAGUGCUUAUGCAGGAAGGAAGAGUUGUUUCGUAUGCUUCACGACAACUAAAGCCUCACGAAUUGAAUUAUGCCAUGCAUGAUUUGGAGUUAGCAGCCGUAGUGCAUGCCUUGAAGACAUGGAGACAUUUCCUCAUCGAAAAUCAUUGUGAGGUGUACACGGAUCACAAGAGUUUGAAGUACAUUUUCACGCAGAAGGAGUUGAACCUCAGACAAAGGAGAUGGUUGGAGCUCAUCAAGGAUUAUGAUAUGAGAUUGCAUUAUCAUCCCGGGAAGGCUAAUGUAGUAGCUGAUGCAUUAAGCCACAAGAGCCAUGUCAAUACGUUAAUGACGGGAGAAAUACCCAAGGAGUUAGCAGAAAAUCUUCGUGAACUAUGUGUGGAAAUAGUUCCGAGAGGCUAUGUAGUAGCACUAGAGAUUCAGUCAACUUUGAUGGAUAGAAUCAGAGAAGCUCAGAAAACUGACAAAGAGAUUGCCGCUAUAAAGGAGAAAGUGAGCACAGGAAAAGCUAAAGGAUUUCGUGAGGAUGAGCACGACACCCUAUGGUUUGAAGACCGUGUUUAUGUACCCAAUGACCCGGAGAUCAGAAAGUUGAUUCUGCAAGAGGCACAUGAUUCACCAUAUUCGAUUCACCCAGGAAAUACUAAGAUGUAUUUGGAUUUGAAGGAUAUUUUCUGGUGGACCGGAAUGAAGAAGGAUAUUGCGGAGUAUGUAGCAGUUUGUGAUGUAUGUCAGAGACUAAAGGCAGAGCAUCAGAAGCCAGCAGGAUUGUUGCAACCAUUGCCGAUACCCGAAUGGAAGUGGGAUAAGCUAGGCAUGGAUUUUAUCACGGGAUUACCAAGGACUCGUUCAGGCUAUGACUCGAUUUGGGUCGUAGUUGAUCAAUUGACGAAGGUACCUCAUUUCAUCCCAGUAAAGACCACUUACACCAGUGCUAAGUUGGCAAAGAUAUACAUGACCAGGAUCAUAUGUUUGCAUGGAGUUCCGAGGAGCAUUGUAUCAGAUAGAGGAACCCAGUUUACCUCAAAAUUCUGGAAGUAGUUGCAUGAGACUUUAGGUACUAGGCUAGAAUUUAGUACAGCUUUCAUCCGCAGACAGAUGGACAGACCGAGAGAGUCAAUCAGAUUUUGGAGGAUAUGCUGAGAGCUUGUGCGCUAGAUUAUGGAUCUAGUUGGGACGAUAAUUUGCCAUAUGCAGAGUUCUCUUACAAUAAUAGCUAUCAGACCAGUUUGAAGAUGGCCCCUUUUGAAGCUCUGUAUGAAAGGAGGUGCAGGACACCGUUGUCAUGGGACGAAGUUGGAGACCGCCAGUUGUUCGUACCAGAUCUGAUUAAAGAGUCUGAACAGAAGGUGAAGUUGAUUCGCGAUAGGCUCAAGGUAGCCCAGUCCAGGCAGAAGAGCUACGCAGAUUCUAAACGCAAGGAGACAGUUUACGAAGUCGGAGAUAGAGCUUAUCUUCGAGUAUCCCCACUUCGAGGGAUUAAGCGCUUUGGAGUUAAGGGGAAGUUAGCGCCACGAUUUGUAGGGCCAUAUCGAGUUUUGGAGUGUAUGGGAGAAGUGGCCUACAAGUUGGAAUUGCCAGGAGGAUUGACAGGAGUUCAUGAUGUGUUCCAUGUUUCUCAGUUGAAGAAGUGUCACGCGGAGAUGGCUGACAUACCCUUGAGAGACACAGUGCCAUUGGAAGCAAUUCAAUUGGAUAACGAUUUGACCUAUGAGGAGAAACCAGUCAAGAUUCUCGAGUUUGCCAGCCGAGUCACUCGCAACAAGGUUAUCAAGUUUUGCAAAGUUUAGUGGAGCCACCACACGGAGGAUGAAGCCACCUGGGAGCGAGAGGAAGAUUUGCUCAAGGACCACCCUCACCUAUUUUCUAGCCACCCGAAUCUCGAGGGCGAGAUUCAUCUUAAGGGGGGUAGGUUUGUAACAUCCCAAAUUUUCAAUUUGGAAUGUUAUACAUUAGAUCAUCACGCAUAUCAUAUUUUAUUUUGCUUUUGGUUUUGAUCCUAGAAAAUCCUAAGCAACUCAAGGACCCACGAAGAGAGUUGGGGAUUUCGUUAUUUACAUAUUUGAGUUUUCUCAAAUUUUGUAAACAGGAUCAUUUGAUUUUAUUUAUUUUAUCAUCAAUUAUUUCUAUUACAAAAUAUGAGAGAGGAAAUAAAAUGACUUUCCCAAAAUAUAGAAAUAUUGAGGAUUUAAUAAAAAAUCAAAUAAGAUUUAUUUCGGAGUUUUUCGGUAUUUUUAUUUGAAUUUAGGAAAAAUGCGUGUUUUUCAAAAUUGCAUUUAGGGCCCAAAUAAAAGUUCACUUUAUUGGGCUUGAUUUUCGAAACCCGGGAAAAUUUAUUUCAGGAUUUUUGGAGUCCGUUUAGUAUUUCUUUUUAUUAUUUUUUUUCCGAGCAUAAUUAUUUAAAAAAAAGAGCGGAACCGACUAUGGGCCGUACUCGACCAGGACUCCCCUGGUCGGGGCCUUUAUAAGCCGGGGCGAGCCAGCCCGAAGGCCAGCCGCCCCGAAACCCUAGGCCCAGCCGCCGCCAGCCCAGCCGCCGCCGCCGCCCCGCCGCCGAUUCCGCCGGAGCCGCGCGUCGCCUGAGGUUCGCCGCCCUCGAAAUCCGUGCCGUUUUUUUAGGAAAAAAAUUCCGUUCGUCGUUUUCUUUUUCGUCGGAUUUUUCCGCGGUUAUUUUCUGAUCGCGAUUUCUGAUUCGAUUUUCGUUUUAGUAUAACUUUUCGCUCGUUUAUCGGAAUCAGGCGAUUCAAGCGCCUGGAGUUUCGUCUCGAAACCCUCUUUCCGAAUAAUCAACUUAAACAAGAUUUUGCUACGGUAAAAUUUUAUUUAGAUCCAGAUUACUAGAACAAAGUUGUUUUCUUUCGCCGUUUGAUUUCUUUUGCUUCGUUCGAUUUGAUUCUUUUUGCAAACCAGGGUUCUUAAGUUGAACUUUCUGGUCAGAUCUUAUAUUUGAGUUUUACUUGUGCAUUAUAUGAGUACUUAUUGUAUGCUUGUUUGUUUGUCUGCGAUAGAAUACCCGGAGUGCGCCGCCUGUUACUUUGAAUCCCUAGGUUUUGUGGAUCAUCAGCAAGGCAAGUAACACUUUGAUCAUACCUUUUUCUACAACCCAGUUUUAUUGCAUUAGAUCAAUCCUCACACAUUGCAUGAUUAGGAUCUAAUUAAAUUGUGGGAUGGGAAGUAGAUGAGGUAGUGCCUAUUACCUGUUUAUUAUCAAACCUUUGGGAGUUAUUUUCUACGUUUGCUUAUCAUGCCAUGCUAUGCUAGUAGACAUGGAUUGGGUGAGUGAUAUCCAUGACAGAUGUGAGAUUGUUAAUUAAUGGUUUAUCUAAGGUGGCAACCUAAACACACAUCUGGGUGGAUUGAGGCACCUGGGUAUUUCAGACUUGCCUGUUUUUCUUUGGACCGCCACCCAGGCUCAAAGGGAUCAUGAGAUUAUUCAUACUAGAAACUUCCGUGUGCAGCCACAAGCCAUUAUGGGCUCUGGCAUAUUUGAUUAAGUCGUGCGAACUCUUACAGGGUAGACUAGCAGAUGUAGGGGAUGUAGGUGGUACGGUCUACCCGAUCGUAAGGUGCUAGCGCUUCUGAAAGACUAUGUCUCGGUCAUCCGUUUCUCAAACACCAUGUAGUGCGAGAAAUCCAACGGAGGCGAUCGAGUCUUGUGGGGAAAAGUGCGCAAACCUCUGCAGAGUGUAACAAACUAAUCAUGGUUAGUCGUGUCCCCGGUUAUGGACAUCUUGAGUAUCUAGUACCUGGAUUAUCAUGUGAAUCUCAACAUGUUACUCUAAAGUAAAUUUUGUGGGGUUUAAUGAUGUUACUUUAAUUGGGAUUGAGAAUGCUGUCAACCAUUCUCAAUGUUUAACAACCACCAUGAUAGUAAUUAAAUUUAUUCCUUUGAAGUAGGGAAAAAUUGGCUUUACGCAAAAACUGUAACCAUAGAGCUUUCCACCAGCCAAAUAUGCAUAUAGUAUAGCUGUUGCAUUCCUUUACUCUCUAUGUGUUACCUUGCCAGCAUAUUCCAUGUGCUGACCCAUUCUCGGGCUGCAACGUUAAUGUUGCAGACUUUUCAGACGACGAUUAAGGAGUUUUAGGUCAUGGUUCUAUACUCAGUGAUGCCGUUGGAGUUGAUGGACUCACUUAUCUUCCAAGCCUUCCGCUGUUAUCGUUAUUAGAUGGCCUUAAGCCAUAUCUAUUGUAAUAAGUUCUCUUUUGAGACACUCGAUGUAAUAAGUGUGUGAUUGCUACUCUGCUAUAAAUCCUUCGAGUACUGUGUGGUGUCAGCAUUACUGAUCCAGGGAUGACACCGGAGCACAGAGAUCAGACUGUUUGAGGUCUGGUCGCUACAGGUGCGGCCCGGUAUGUUGAUGUAGACCAGGCCGCGAGAGACGGACGACAAAAGCGACCGCAACAUCUGAGGCAGCUCGGAUAGAUGAACUGACCGCGGCAUUGUAAACCGGUGCGGACGGGAAAGAUUGGCACCGGUGUCGUAAACCGGUGCGGACGAGCGAGUCAACCACGUCGUGUUGAUGUAGUGAACAAUUGUCCUGCAUCAAAAACAUCGCAAGCCGAAGUAAUUUGUUCUUUGACAAAAACAAUAUGUGUCAAAAAUAGACUUAGAUAGAUUUCACUUGAUAUGUUAGGCCGAAAAUUAUCCGCCGCUGAGUUGAUGAUCACCUCGGUGAUGGUUGUAAGCCUGGUGCGGACGGGCAAGUUGUCCUCCUUGUUGUAAGCCGGUGCAGACGCCUGAACCGGCCGCGAGAGCGGAUGGGCGUGUCGUCCGUGGCGUUGUAAGGCGGUGCAGACGGGGAGAAUCGGCCGCAAGUGCGGAUGGAUGUAAACCGGCAACGUGGGCGGUGGUUUGUGCGCGUCCGUCCGGCGGUUCAUAAGAGCAAGCGCGACACCAGCGUGUUGAGGUAGUCCUCCGUUGAUUCAGGGGUGCGGCGGCUCGGCGCAGCUUCAGAGGCAAAGGUGUUACCGCUGGGCCACUCAGGGAUGCAGAUACGGCCCAGAGCAGAGGCCGGCGCGAGCGACAGUACUGGAGGGCCGCUGCAUGGAUGGCGGUUUUGAAGUGGAUGUAGCACAUGAAGUAGAUCUGAAGCGCGAGCCGGGGCGGCUGUGUGCGGAGUGGAGAAGAAGCACAACUGAGACGUCUACGAGUUGGAGAGGUGCCGGUCUAGUAGGGCCACGCGGACAUGCGGCAGUCAGACACGCCCGGCGAUGGCGGUUUAGAGAUAAAACGGAAACCGAGCUUCAGCCCGUGGCCUCGUCCAAACUUGAUAUUUGACUUUGUCAAUCCGUCCCGGUGUUGGAAUCAUGUAUCUUCACAUAAGGCAAAUCAUGCUAUUUUUCUUCUCUUAAUUCUCGACUGAACCUCCUGGUAGAUUCCUUGUAGCAAUCAGAAUUGACCAAUAGAAAACUGAUUUGGUUUCAGGUGAUAUACUAGUCGAGAAGUACACCACACUUUGAAACCAUUAGGCUGUGACGCUUGAUGUGAUGGAAACAAUUUGGCCGUGUCGGCGAAUCUUGUACGCGGCGCUGGCGGUGACAUCCUGGCGAAUCAGACCAAAAACAAACACAACUUAAUGAUUUUCCAUCCGUACGGAUCGACUUCCUUUUUGCACCUUGGCCUCUUGCAGCGGUACUCUCGAAAUUUGGCUCCGGACUGACGGAACGCCAGGUCGCAUGCGGGGACGCACAGAUUCAAACCUAAUUUUUAACUCAAAUCUUACGGAUUAUCAAUCUGAACCGAUAAACUUGAAGUUGGUACAGAUUAUUCCAAUCAGGCUCUUCUUUAUCCAGAAAAUCACAAACUCCCGAUCUCUAGGAGAGAUCCCUUCAAGAACUCAACACCACCGUGCGCAGGCCCCAUGGUGGGCGCCAAUUGUCGUGGAAUUGUCACGGCAGAUGUCCUUAGUGUCAGGACUUAGUCGCGAGGCCAACGCAUCUAUGUGGUAGCUUGAGAGGGGUUGAGCGGGACGAGAGACAUGAUGUUUUACCCAGGUUCGGCCCCUCACGGUGGAGGUAAAAGCCUACAUCCUGCUUCAUUGAUAUUGAUGAUGAUGAUCACGGUUACAAGAGUGCUCUAUUUCGAGAGCUAUUGUCUAAACCUAACUUGUCCAAUUUGUGAAACUUGUGAAUCUUAUCCCUUUUGGGGAGCCCUGCCCCUCCUUAUAUAUGUUGGAGGGGCGGGUUACAUGUAGAGUCCUAUUAGGAUUAGGACUAGUCUAUCUCUAAUACAAACCGGAUAUAAGUCCAGGUCUUAACUCCUUGUAGGACAAAUAUUCCUCAUGCCUUUCCUCUUAAACCGGCCCACCGUUAAACGUGAACCGGCCUUCUGGGCCUUGGGCCUUGUCAUCCGUCUGUCCCGCCCGCCGGAUCACCAGUGAGUCAUAACGAGCAGGUGGGUUGCUUGUAGACCGCCAGGUCAGGGCGGGUCGCUAGUAACUCGCCAAGUGUCAGCGGGGUCUUCAGAUAAACCGCCAAGUCCUGGCCGGGUUAACUUUCGGCCAGUUUACACCGCGGGGUAUAUCCCCGACAGAGGGUAUUCAAAAAUUGCAAAGUCCAAAAAUAUCAGGUGUAAAGCAGAAGCACAGACAAUACUUACAGCGGGUGGUUUGUUUUGCGUGUAAAAGGGACUUAACCCAGUCUUGCUGCAGACAGCUUCCGGUUUGUUCAACAUUUUCUUCACAGACUCAGUGACUUCUUCAUCUGUUAGCUUAAUAUUGAUAUGACGUUGAGAGUCUUGAACGUCACCAGUAUACUCACACAUUAAGCCGGAGCGGUGACUUAACGGCAAAAUGCUCCAGGAUAUCCAGCAACGGACGAAGUCCACGCCUGUUAAACCGUUGGCCAGGAAGGCUCUCAGCUUGGUGAGUUGAGGUGCGUACGAGGGCCAUUCCUGGGCACUUAGUCGUUACGGAAGCGGAUGAGUAUUAGCAAGUCGGUCAGCACGAUAACCCGGCAGAGGGUUUUCAUCUUCAGGAGAGGUGUCUCUGCAGUAGAACCAAGUUUGAUUCCACUCUUUUGGGUGACUGUGAAGUUUGGCAUGAGGAAACUCAACCUCUUUCCUUUUUUGAAUUGAGACGCUGCCAAGUUCCGUAUUGGGUCCGUCUACAAACUCAGUGCGGCGGUUUAAAUGGAAGAAAUCCCGGAACAGCUCAACAGUUGAUUCUUCUUGAAGGUACGCUUCACAAAAGACUUGAAAGUUGCAUAUAUUGGAUACCGAGUGUUGGGGAACGUAGCAGAAAUUCAAAAUUUUCCUACGCGUCACCAAGAUCUAUCUAUGGAGAAACCAGCUACGAGUAUAAGGAGAGUGCAUCUACAUACCCUUGUAGAUCGCUAAGCGGAAGCGUUCAAGUGAACGGGGUUGAUGGAGUCGUACUCGUCGUGAUUCAAAUCACCGAUGAUCAAGUGCCGAACGGACGGCACCUCCGCGUUCAACACACGUACAGCCCGGUGACGUCUCCCACGCCUUGAUCCAGCAAGGAGAGAGGGAGAGGUUGAGGAAGACUCCAUCCAACAGCAGCACAACGGCGUGGUGGUGGUGGAGGAGCGUGGCAAUCCCGCAGGGCUUCGCCAAGCACCAUGGGAGAGGAGGAGGAGGGAGAGGGGCAGGGCUGCACCAACGAGAGAUCGAAUCGCGUGUUAUGGGCAGCCCCUAGGCCUCAUAUAUAUAGGGGAAGGGGAGGGCUGCGCCCCCUUUAGGGUUUCCCACCCCAAGGGGCGGCGGCCAGCCUCCAGAUGGCAUCUGGUGCGGCGGCCAAGAGGGGGGGAGGAGUCCAUCCUCCCCAAGGCACCUCGGAGGUGCCUUCCCCCUUGAGGACUCUUCCCUCUAGGGUUCCCUAGGCGCAUGGGCCUCUUGGGGCUGGUGCCCUUGGCCCAUGUAGGCCAAGGCGCACCCCCUACAGCCCAUGUGGCCCCUCGGGGCAGGUGGCCCCACCCGGUGGGCCCCCGGGACCCUUCCGGUGGUCCCGGUACAAUACCGAUGACCCCGAAACUUGUCCCGAUGGCCGAAACAGGACUUCCUACAUAUAAAUCUUUACCUCCGGACCAUUCCGGAACUCCUCGUGACGUCCGGGAUCUCAUCCGGGACUCCGAACAACAUUCGGUAACCACAUACAAGCUUCCUUUAUAACCCUAGCGUCAUCGAACCUUAAGUGUGUAGACCCUACGGGUUCGGGAGACAUGCAGACAUGACCGAGACGUUCUCCGGUCAAUAACCAACAGCGGGAUCUGGAUACCCAUGUUGGCUCCCACAUGUUCCACGAUGAUCUCAUCGGAUGAACCACGAUGUCAAGGACUCAAUCGAUCCCGUAUACAAUUCCCUUUGUCUAUCGGUAUGUUACUUGCCCGAGAUUCGAUCGUCGGUAUACCGAUACCUUGUCCAAUCUCGUUACCGGCAAGUCACUUUACUCGUUCCGUAACACAUCAUCCCGUGAUCAACUCCUUGGUCACAUUGCGCAUAUGAUGAUGUCCUACCGAGUGGGCCCAGAGAUACCUCUCCGUUUACACGGAGUGACAAAUCCCAGUCUCGAUCCGCAUAAAACAAUAGAUACUUUCGGAGAUGCCUGUAGUGCACCUUUAUAGUCACCCAGUUACGUUGUGACGUUUGAUACACCCAAAGCACUCCUACGGUAUCUAGGAGUUACACGAUCUCAUGGUCAAAGGAAGAGAUACUUGACAUUGGCAAAGCUCUAGCAAACGAACUACACGAUCUUUGUGCUAUGCUUAGGAUUGGGUCUUGUCCAUCACAUCAUUCUCCUAAUGAUGUGAUCCCGUUAUCAACGACAUCCAAUGUCCAUAGCCAGGAAACCAUGACUAUCUGUUGAUCACAACGAGCUAGUCAACUAGAGGCUCACUAGGGACAUAUUGUGGUCUAUGUAUUCACACGUGUAUUACGAUUUCCGGAUAAUAUAGUUAUAGCAUGAAUAAAAGACAAUUAUCAUGAACAAGGAAAUAUAAUAAUAAUACUUUUAUUAUUGCCUCUAGGGCAUAUUUCCAACAGUCUCCCACUUGCACUAGAGUCAAUAAUCUAGUUCACAUCGCCAUGUGAUUAACACUCACAGGUCACAUCGCCAUGUGACUAAUACCCAAGAGUUUACUAGAGUCAGUAGUCUAGUUCACAUCACUAUGUGAUUAACACUCAAUGAGUUUUAUGUUUGAUCAUGUUGCUUGUGAGAGAGGUUUUAGUCAACGGGUCUGAACCUUUCAGAUCCAUGUGUGCUUUACAAAUCUCUAUGUCAUCUCCUAGAUGCAGCUACCACGCUCUAUUUGGAGCUAUUCCAAACAACUGUUCUACUUGGAGCUAUUCUAAAUUAUUGCUCCAUUAUAUGUAUCCGAUCUCUCUACUCAGAGCUAUCCGGAUAGGUGUCAAGCUUGCAUCGUCGUAACCUUUACGACGAACUCUUUUACCACCUCCAUAAUCGAGAAAAUUCCUUAGUCCACUAGUUACUAAGGAUAACUUUGACCGCUGUCCUGUGAGCCAUUCUUGGAUCACUCUUGUACCCCUUGACUGACUCAUGGCAAGGCACACUUCAGGUGCGGUACACAGCAUAGCAUACUGAAGAGCCUACGUCUUAAGCAUAGGGGAUGACCUUCGUCCUUUCUCUCUAUUCUGCCGUGGUCGAGCUUUAAGUCUUAACUUCGUACCUUGCAACUCAGGCAAGAACUCCUUCUUUGACUGGUCCAUCUUGAACACCUUCAAGAUCAUGUCAAGGUAUGUGCUCAUUUGAAAGUAUUAUUAAGCAUUUUGAUCUAUCCUUAUAGAUCUUGAUGCUCAAUGUUCAAGUAGCUUAAUCCAGGCUUUCCAUUGAAAAACACUUUCAAAAUAACCCUAUAUGCUUUCUAGAAAUUCUACGUCAUUUCUGAUUCAACAAUAUGUCAACAACAUGUACUCAUCAGAAAUUCUAUAGUGCUCCCACUCACUUCUUUGGAAAUACAAGUUUCUCAUAAACUUUGUACAAACCCAAAAUCUUUGAUCAUCUCAUCAAAGUGUACAUUCCAACUCCGAGAUGCUUACUCCAGUCCUUAGAAGGAUCGCUGGAGCUUUGCAUACUUAUUAGCAUCUUUCAGGAUUGACAAAACCUUCCGGUUGUAUCACAUACAACCUUUCCUCAAGAAAAUCGUCGAGGAAACAAUGUUUUGACAUCCUAUCUGCAAGAUUUCAUAAAUAAUGCAGUAAUCGCUAAUAUAAUUCCAACAGACUCUUAGCAUCGCUACGAGUGAGAAAAUCUCAUCGUAGUCAACUCCUUGAACUUGUCGGAAAACAUCUUAACGACAAGUCGAGCUUUCUUAAUGGUGACAUUUACCAUCAUUGUCCGUCUUCCUUUUGAAAUCCAUCUGUACUCAUACAUGGAUCCUCUCUCGGAUUUUAUGGCCUCAAGCCAUUUAUCGGAAUCCGGGCCCACCAUCGCUUCUCCAUAGCUCGUAGGUUCAUUGUUGUCUAGCAACAUGACUUCCAAGACAGGAUUACCGUACCACUCUGAAGUAGUACGUAUCCUUGUCACCCUACGAGGUACGGCAGUGAUUUGAUCCGAAACCUCAUGAUCAAUAUCAUAAGCUUCCACUUCAAUUGGUGUAGGUGCCACGGGAACAACUUCCUGUGCCCUACUACACACUGGUUGAAGUGAUGGUUCAAUAACCAUAUCAAGUCUCCACCAUCCUCCCACUCAACUCUUUCGAGAGAAACCUUUCCUCGAGAAAGGACCCGAUUCAAGAAACAAUCCAUAUUGCUUUCGGAUCUGAAUUAGGAGGUAUACCCAACUGUUUUGGGUUUCCUAUGAAGAUGCAUUUUAUCCGCUUUGGGUUCGAGCUUAUCAACCUGAAACUUUUUCAUAUGAGCGUCGCAGCCCCAAACCUUUAAGAAACGACAACUUAGGUUUCUCUAAACCAUAAUUCAUACGGUGUCAUCUCAACGGAAUUACGUGGUGCCCUAUUUAAAGUGAAUGUGGUUGUCUCUAAUGCCUAACCCAUGAACGAUAGUGGUAAUUUGAUAAGAGACAUCAUGGUACGCACCAUAUCCAAUAGGGUGCAACUAUGAUGUUCGGACACACCAUCACAUUAUGGUGUUCCAGGCGGUAUUAAUUGCGAAACAAUUUCCACAAUGUCUUAAUUGUGUGCCAAAACUCGUAACUCAGAUAUUCAUCUCUAUGAUCAUAUCAUAGACAUUAUAUCCUCUUGUCACAAUGAUCUUCUACUUCACUCUGAAAUUACUUGAACCAUUCAAUAAUUCAGACUUGUGUUUCAUCAAGUAAAUAUUCUCAACAUCUACUCGAAUCAUCUGUGAAGUAAGAACAUAACUAUAUUCACUGCAUGCCUCAGCACUCAUUGGACUGCACACAUCAAAAUGUGUUGCUUCCAACAAGUUGCUAUCUUGUUCCAUUUUACUGAAACCGAGGCUUUUCAGUCAUCUUGCCUAUGUGGUAUGAUUUGCAUAUCUCAAGUGAUCCAAAAUCAAGUGAGUCCAAACGAUCCAUCUGCAUGGAGUUUCUUCAUGCGUAUAUACCAAUAGACAUGGUUCGCAUGUCUCAAACUUUUCAAAAACGAGUGAGUCCAAAGAUCCAUCAACAUGGAGCUUCUUCAUGCGUUUUAUACCAAUAUGACUUACAUGGCAGUGCCACAAGUAAGUGGUACUAUCAUUACUAUCUUAUAUCUUUUGGCAUGAAAAUGUGUAUCACUACGAUCGAGAUUCAAUAAACCAUUCAGGUUUAAUACUAAUCUUGAUGGUAGAGGGAGCGUGCGAUGUUUGAUCACAUCAAACUUGGAAACACUUCCAACACAUAUCGUCAGCUCACCUUUAGCUAGUCUCCGUUUAUUCCGUAGCUCUUUUAUUUCGAGUUACUAACACUUAGCAACCGAACCGGUAUCUCAUACCCUGGUGCUACUAGGAGUACUAGUAAAGUACAUAUUAACAUAAUGUAUAUCCAAUAUACUUCUAUCGACCUUGCCAGCCUUCUCAUCUACCAAGUAUCUAGGGUAAUCCCGCUCUAGUGACUAUUCCCCUUAUCACAGAAGCACUUAGUCUCGGGUUUGGGUUCAACCUUGGGUUUCUUCACUAGAGCAGCAGCUGAUUUGCCAUUUCAUGAAGUAUCCCUUCUUGCCCUUGCCCUUCUUGAAACUAGUGGUUUCACCAACCAUCAACAAUUGAUGCUCCUUCUUGAUUUCUACUUUUGCGGUGUCAAACAUCGCGAGUACCUCAAGGAUCACCAUAUCUAUCCCUGAUAUAUUAUAGUUCAUCACGAAGCUCUAGCAGCUUGGUGGCAAUGUCUUUGGAGAAACAUCACUAUCUCAUCUGGAAGAUCAACUCCCACUCGAUUCAAGUGAUUGUUGCACUCAGACAAUCUGAGCACAAGCUCAACAAUUGAGCUUUUCUCCCUUAGUUUGCAGGCUAAGAAAAUUGUCGGAGGUCUUAUACCUCUUGACGUGGGCACGAGCCUGAAAUCCUAAUUUCAGCCCUCGAAACAUCUCAUAUGUUCCGCGACAUUUCGAAAACGUCUUUGGUGCCUCUACUUAAACCAUUUAACUGAACUAUCACGUAGUUAUCAAAACGUGUAUGUCCGAUGUUCGCAACAUCCACAAACGAUGUUUGGGGUUCAGCACACUGAGCGGUGCAUUAAGGACAUAAGCUUUCUACUGUCCGCAUAAUCGCUACUGUCAACUUUCAACUAUAUUUUCUCUAGGAACAUAUCUAAACAGUGGAACUAAAGCGCGAGCUUACGACAUAAUUUGCAAAAAGGUCUUUUGACUAUGUUCAAGAUAAUUAAGUUCAUCUUAUGAACUCCCACUCAGAUAGACAUCCCUCUAGUCAUCUAAGUGAUUACAUGAUCCGAGUCAAAUAGGCCGUGUCCGAUCAUCACGUGAGACGGACUAGUCAUCAUCGGUGAACAUCUUCAUGUUGAUCGUAUCUACUAUACGACUCAUGCUCGACCUUUCGGUCUCCGUGUUCCGAGGCCAUGUCUGCACAUGCUAGGCUCGUCAAGUUAACCCUAAGUGUUUUCGCUGUGUAAAACUGUCUUACACCCGUUGUAUGUGAACGUAAGAAUCCAUCACACCCGAUCAUCACGUGGUGCUUAGAAGCGACGAACUGUAGCAACGGUGCACAGUUAGGGGAGAACACUUCUUGAAAUUUUGUAAGGGAUCAUCUUAUUUACUACCGUCGUCCUAAGUAAACAAGAUGCAUAAACAUGAUAAACAUCACAUGCAAUCAAAUAGUGACAUGAUAUGGCCAAUAUCAUUUUGCUCAUUUUGAUCUUCAUCUUCGGGGCUCCAUGAUCAUCAUCGUCACCGGCACGACACCAUGAUCUCCAUCAUCAUGAUCUCCAUCAUCGUGUCUUCAUGAAGUUGUCACGCCAACGACUACUUCUACUUCUAUGGCUAAUGCGUUUAGCAAUAAAGUAAAGUAAGUUACAUGGCGUUUUUCAAUGACACGCAGGUCAUACAAAAAUAAAGACAACUCCUAUGGCACCUGCCGGUUGUCAUACUCAUCGACAUGCAAGUCGUGAAUCCUAUUACAAGAACAUGAUCAAUCUCAUACAUCGCAUAUCAUUCAUCACAUUCUUCUUGGCCAUAUCACAUCACAUAGCAUACCCUGCAAAAACAAGUUAGACGUCCUCUAAUUGUUGUUGCAUGUUUUACGUGGCUGCUAUGGGUUUCUAGCAAGAACGUUUCUUACCUACGCAAGACCACAACGUGAUAUGCCAAUUGCUAUUUACCCUUCAUAAGGACCCUUUUCAUCGAAUCCGUUCCGACUAAAGUGGGAGAGACUGGCACCCGCUAGCCACCUUAUGCACCAAGUGCAUGUCAAUCGGUGGAACCUGUCUCACGUAAGAGUACGUGUAAGGUCGGUCCGGGCCGCUUCAUCCCACAAUACCGCCGAAACAAGAUUGGACUAGUAACGGUAAGCAUAUUGAACAACAUCAACGCCCACAACUACUUUGUGUUCUACUCGUGCAAAGAAUCUACGCAAUAGACCUAGCUCAUGAUGCCACUGUUGGGGAACGUAGCAGAAAUUCAAAAUUUUCCUACGCGUCACCAAGAUCUAUCUAUGGAGAAACCAGCUACGAGUAGAAGGAGAGUGCAUCUACAUACCCUUGUAGAUCGCUAAGCGGAAGCGUUCAAGUGAACGGGGUUGAUGGAGUCGUACUCGUCGUGAUUCAAAUCACCGAUGAUCAAGUGCCGAACGGACGGCACCUCCGCGUUCAACACACGUACAGCCCGGUGACGUCUCCCACGCCUUGAUCCAGCAAGGAGAGAGGGAGAGGUUGAGGAAGACUCCAUCCAACAGCAGCACAACGGCGUGGUGGUGGUGGAGGAGCGUGGCAAUCCCGCAGGGCUUCGCCAAGCACCAUGGGAGAGGAGGAGGAGGGAGAGGGGCAGGGCUGCACCAACGAGAGAUCGAAUCGCGUGUUAUGGGCAGCCCCUAGGCCUCAUAUAUAUAGGGGAAGGGGAGGGCUGCGCCCCCUUUAGGGUUUCCCACCCCAAGGGGCGGCGGCCAGCCUCCAGAUGGCAUCUGGUGCGGCGGCCAAGAGGGGGGGGAGGAGUCCAUCCUCCCCAAGGCACCUCGGAGGUGCCUUCCCCCUUGAGGACUCUUCCCUCUAGGGUUCCCUAGGCGCAUGGGCCUCUUGGGGCUGGUGCCCUUGGCCCAUGUAGGCCAAGGCGCACCCCCUACAGCCCAUGUGGCCCCCCGGGGCAGGUGGCCCCACCCGGUGGGCCCCCGGGACCCUUCCGGUGGUCCCGGUACAAUACCGAUGACCCCGAAACUUGUCCCGAUGGCCGAAACAGGACUUCCUAUAUAUAAAUCUUUACCUCCGGACCAUUCCGGAACUCCUCGUGACGUCCGGGAUCUCAUCCGGGACUCCGAACAACAUUCGGUAACCACAUACAAGCUUCCUUUAUAACCCUAGCGUCAUCGAACCUUAAGUGUGUAGACCCUACGGGUUCGGGAGACAUGCAGACAUGACCGAGACGUUCUCCGGUCAAUAACCAACAGCGGGAUCUGGAUACCCAUGUUGGCUCCCACAUGUUCCACGAUGAUCUUAUCGGAUGAACCACGAUGUCAAGGACUCAAUCGAUCCCGUAUACAAUUCCCUUUGUCUAUCGGUAUGUUACUUGCCCGAGAUUCGAUCGUCGGUAUACCGAUACCUUGUUCAAUCUCGUUACCGGCAAGUCACUUUACUCGUUCCGUAACACAUCAUCCCGUGAUCAACUCCUUGGUCACAUUGCGCAUAUGAUGAUGUCCUACCGAGUGGGCCCAUAGAUACCUCUCCGUUUACACGGAGUGACAGAUCCCAGUCUCGAUCCGCAUAAAACAAUAGAUACUUUCGGAGAUGCCUGUAGUGCACCUUUAUAGUCACCCAGUUACGUUGUGACGUUUGAUACACCCAAAGCACUCCUACGGUAUCCAGGAGUUACACGAUCUCAUGGUCAAAGGAAGAGAUACUUGACAUUGGCAAAGCUCUAGCAAACGAACUACAUGAUCUUUGUGCUAUGCUUAGGAUUGGGUCUUGUCCAUCACAUCAUUCUCCUAAUGAUGUGAUCCCGUUAUCAACGACAUCCAAUGUCCAUAGCCAGGAAACCAUGACUAUCUGUUGAUCACAACGAGCUAGUCCACUAGAGGCUCACUAGGGACAUAUUGUGGUCUAUGUAUUCACACGUGUAUUACGAUUUCCGGAUAAUACAGUUAUAGCAUGAAUAAAAGACAAUUAUCAUGAACAAGGAAAUAUAAUAAUAAUACUUUUAUUAUUGCCUCUAGGGCAUAUUUCCAACACCGAGUUGGGUCCAAUAUCUUGAGGAUGGAGCUGAAAGCUAGCAAGUACAUCUCGAAAAAACUUUGAUCUGGGCGGUUUAAAGCCAUGGCCUAUAUGAUCAACAAACACCACCACUUCAUUCUGUUUGGGGCAGGAGGAUUUUCCGACCCAGGAACUCGCCACCGGAUCUCAUUCUUCUUUGGUAAGGUGCCGAUCUUAACCAUUCCGUUCAGUUGCUCCUCAGUAACCCGGGAAGGGACCCAGUUGCAGGAAUAAAACUGCUUGGCCAUUGCAAGUGAAAAGCUGGGAAGAAAAUAAUGCCGGUUUACGAUUCAUUCAUGGUGAUGCAUAAGGUACAAUAGGGAAAAGGAAUCCAAGUAUGUGAAAUUGAUAACCAGAGGCUGAUGCAAUUAUGAAUGAAAAAGCGAUAAGCAGAAACAGAGGUAUACACAUAUUAUUAAACCGGAGUAUGACAACGGAGAUAAAGGGAUUGGCGGUUCACAAGGGGACUAAUGGUACCUGCCGGAUUAUCAUAUUUCAAAAAGAUAAACCGCCUAUGCAGAUAAGGAAGAUACAGAUCUAAGGCAGGAAUGACUAAGUAAGGAAAAACAGGUUUCCCAAGAUUGCAUUGAAAUUUUGGAUCUACCGUAAGUCAGGAAAAGAAAAAAUUUGAGACUUAAAAAGUUUGGUCCCGAAGCAGUUCACAAAAGGUCCAGAUCAAGUUAUUAUGUAUUAAAGGUUUGGUUUAAAUGGCCGAGAUAAGGAGUGCCAUAGCUACUGUGCGGAACACGUCAAGAUCAAGCUCCGCUAUCUAUGGACUAACGAAGAACACGAGGAGAGCGACAUGAACCCGCAUGAACCCUAAUGGAUCUACAAAGGAAAUAAGGAAAGGCUUACAACAUCUGUUGAGGUAGUAGAGGUGCGCCAUGUUUCUCUGAUACGACCAGGUCGAUGCAGCGGCCGACGGUGAUGCAGAGGCGAAGCUCGACGACGGCGGUGGCGCUCGGGUGCAGGGGUGUCGCGAGGAGGAAGAAGAAGCGAGGAGGUCAAGGGGGAAAAAGAAAAUGACCCUUGGCCCUAUUUAUAAGGUAAAUGGAGAGGUGACAGGCGCGAGAAUCAAGGAGCCCAAAAAUUGGAUAUAUAACGGAGCGGUCGCCUCGAUUGUCGGAGGCUCAUUAACUGAAGGUGAGAUGUAUAAUUUUUAAAUAACAAGUGACGUCAUCGCGAUUUAUCAUGAUCCUGGAGGAUGACGUCAUGGCGGUUUACAAGAUCAAGGUGAAGAUGCAAAGGAGGAAUUUUUCUAAGUGUUGAAGAUUGACAUGAACAAGUUCAAAUCAAUCUGGGGCCUAAUAUUGGGGAUAUUACCACCGGGCAUAAACCGGCUAGGAGAGGCCAGAUUAUCCCCAUGAUGGUUGCUUUAUUCAAAAGCCCAUGAAGACGUGAGGAUGGUGGUGCUUUAUGAAGGCCCAAGGCCCAAAGGCGAGUUAAGGCAUGUAGAUGUAAACCGACUUUCUCAUGUAACUUGCAUUGUAAGAUAGGAAGGAUAGAGACCGGGUUGAUACGUUGACGAUCCGGCCUCGGGACUCUGUAAACCGACGGGCGUCGACCUAUGUAUAUAAAGGGACGACCCGGUGGCGGUUUAGGAACAACUCACAACAACAAGUCGAGAGCCGGGUAAAGCGGAUUCGCUCCCUGGUCAUAGAAACCCCAGCAAUUCCAUCACAACUAGACGUAGGCUUUUACCUUCAUCGUAAGGGGACGAACUAGUAUAAAACUCUCGUGUCCCUUGUCCGGUUUAACCCCUUUAAGCUAACCCGUAGCGAUGGCUUCAUGACUAAGUCCUUUCACGAGAACAUCUGCCAUGACAAAACCACGACAAUCACCCUUUGGUAGAUUACCGAGACAAAGAUGGCAAGGGCGAUAUCAUCGGCGAGGCGCAAGCAUCAUCAGUGAGAAGUUAGAUAAAUCGAUGAGUCAUGUGCAUGCAUACAAGCUGAGCUAGUCAACAUCAUGCCAAGUGUUCAUAUCCAAGUGCAUGUCGGUCUAUGGUUCCAUUGCAGUUGAAGUUAGAUAAAUUUCAAAGUCGUCGUUUGCUAGUUUGCCAUGUUUGAGAGUCGAAGAUUGAACAGGUUUUCCUACUACAAUUUUGUGUCUGAUCUUACGUGCAAAUCCAGCGGCUAGUGGACUUCUCAGUCAUAUGCAUGUCAGGCUGGAUUCAACUUCGUCUGUGGACCAUGCAAAAAUAUGCCGUGUGCAUAACACUUCUCUCUCUCUCUCUCUCUCUCUCUCUCUCUCUCUCUCUCUCUCUCUCUCUCUCUCUCUCUCUCUCUCUCUGUUAUAAGCACAACAGGGGCUGAAGUUUGAUGCCAACUGGGAAGAAGCAAGGAAACGAUGGCACCAUUUGUAUCCUUGGUUAAAGUUGUGUGUUCGCAUCAUAGCAUGCGUUUCAUGAUAUGUUGUUGCAACCGAUUGGUGGGAGAAGCCAACAAGGAAUCGAUCUAGCUUGUUAUGAACCUUUUGGAUUUAGAGGCAUCAGGAAUGAAGCUCAAACUUCCCGCCUCUUUACCACUGCUGCUGCUAGAGUCCAGAUAGGGGUCUCGGAAGUGCUCCUAUGCAUAUGCAUCGAUGUGCCAGACCGGUGGGCUACAAUUGCUUGUGUUGCGCAACUCUCCCUCGAGAUGCACAGACUCCUCUGCCCGAGAAGAACGGCAACGCCUUCCUUCUGCGCUCGUGUAACAACGCUUUGUUGAAUGGAGUUCCGACUAUGCUCUACAAGAACAGAUUGCGCUUGCUCCAUUGUAUGAGAAGUUAAAUACUGUGUACACAGCAAUAGUAAAACUUGUAUACAUCAGACUUGAACGAGUAGCAACUAUUAUCUCUGCUACCCACCAAUAUUAGCGUCUUUUUACCACCACCCUGUCUUUUUUUGUUUCUCUUUGCAUGUUUGGGAUUUUGAUCAUAAUUUUUAGGGAUUGUAGACACAUAUUUGAUGGAACAUUCACACACAAAAACUGACACAUCUAAAAUUGAAUUUUUCAAAUUGGUAUCACGGGAGCACUUAAGAGAUGGUAUUCUCCUCUCUGAUUACUCCAGUGGUUUGCCACCCAAUCAAAUGAAAGAUUAAAUGUUUGGGCGCAGUCACACGCAAGUCCUACCCCAGUCACCAAAUAUCCAUGAUAAUGCACAUAAUAUGGUAGAGGACAUAAACAAAAGCAUGAUUGCAACCCACAGUAAAAGCAUUAAUAAUGACUCAUAAACCUCUAGAGGAAAUGUGAGAUUUGAUCCAAACAUAUCUGGUUCUGAAUACAAAAAACGCAUGCAUAUUCAUCAUCUGCUUCCUAAUGUGAAGCAAGUUUAUCCUUCCAACACAAUGUAUUAUCAAGGAGCUCACUCAACCUAUUUCAUCCUUCUAACGAGCUAGUUGAUGUAGUUCUCACGGUUGCCAGCAUCACCACCCUCGACAUAGUGGUUCCUCUUCUUCUUCAGGCCACUGAGCGGUGCCUUCAGCUUGAAUGGCCACAAGAAGUUGUUCGCCUCCUUGAAAUGUGGGCCGACAGUCAAGAUCUCGUGCACAAGGUUCUCGGUGUAGAAGAUGUUGUGCUUCCCCACACCCUGUGGAGAACAUAGAAAUGAUGAUCAACUUGAUAUGGCUCCCAUCAAGGGUCAUUUUUGUCUUCAUCAUGUCACAGGCAAGGUGCUCGCCACCGCCUACCAAAGCUGCUGGACUAUAGUUAAUUCAUCGCUACUACACCUCAUGGGCGCAUCGACGUCUGUGCAUCUAGAGUUUACAUUUUUCUUGUGACAUCAGAGUUAAGUUUUGACUCGUGGCCAAGAGCAACGCCGCAAAUCUUGACAUUAAUUAUGCAGUCACUACUUCAUGAUACAUGAAUCUAAUUCUGCCACUCUAGCUGAGUGGGCAUGUGCAUAAGGUCGAGAUGGUCGAACUUUAUCUACAUAUAACUUGGAAUAAUAAGUGGUGCACAAACAGCAUGUGUGUGAAUACUCUGAGAAUCACACAGUUUUGUUGUUUCGGUGUUUCUUUGAACUUGCAUACCCAUGAAGUUCUCCUCUUCGAAGCGACUAAGUUGAUGUGGAGUAGCUGGGGCCGGAAUAUUUUAUAAGUAAUUCCAUGUCCAAUGAUGAAAUAAAUUGGUUGUCCCCUGCUUAUCUCAUGUGCCUGGUUAAAUAUAUUUCAUGUUCAUAGGCAUGCAUACAUAAGGUUGUGCAUUCAUGUGUGUUGGUGAAAUUUUUGUGUGACCGUUCCAGCACCAGAUCAAGGUUUCAAAUUUUGAAUCCAUGCUUGCAGCAGAGAGGCUACCCCUAGCAUCUCAAGGCGAUCGGUCGCCCUUUGGUAGAUUACCGAGACAAAGAUGGCAAGUACGAUAUUAUCGGUGAGGCGCAAGCAUCAUCAAUGGUAAGUUGGAUAAAUCAAUGAGUCAUGUGCAUGUAUACUAGCGGAUUUAGUCAACAUCAUGCCAAGUGUUCAUAUUGUGCGGUGCCACAGUCGAACCACUGUAUAGUGAGGUAUAUUACUCUGAGCGAAAACAUGUGUGGAGAAAAGAUGGCAUGUGGCUGUCUACGUGUCUCGCCGAGAUAUCAAGCUCGAGCAUGUAGUGAAAUGGUAAUCAAUAAUGGUGAGUAUGUCGAAUAAGGCCAUAUCUCUAGUGAGCAUGUGUGGUCAUCAGCAUGUAUGUAACUGAGCCUGUGUAGUCAUCAGCAUGUAUUAGAUCGCUGAUGGCGUGCGUUGAUGCGUCCGUCUAUUUUGGCUUGUAGUUGUUAGGUAUAUAAAAUAAUUUGAAUACAUUUAUUUGAAAGAAUUAGGACGAUUUGGAUACAUGUUUCAUGAUUGAUCACAGACAUAUUUUUGGCUCCUAAAAUAUCUCUCACAAAUACUGAAGAAAGACAUUACAAAUAUUAAAAAAAUAAACAUAAAAAUAGGCUGUGCAAAUAUUUAAAACUUUUGGACAACAUUUAUUAUUUAAAAAAUCAAUGCCUUCAUGUAGUAUUACAUUGUAGUCUAUCAGACAAAGAUUCCAAAAGGGAUAUUAUAAACGAGCAUACCGCCAUCGCAUGCUCUGGAUAUCAUCCUGGUAUUCACUCGGAAAGCUCAAGAGCGAAGUUUUACGAGGACGCCUCAAAGGAGGGAAAUAACGCUCAGCAGGCACAUGACCGUAGUAGAGAGUCAAAGCAUUCGCCUGGAACACAAUCACUCCGACCUAGAUAGGGCUUGCAGAUCUAGAGCAUCAAGAGCGUGCAUAUCGCCGAGCCAUGCCCAUUGUCUCCGUCGCCGACCACCAAUCACAAUCAUGUAGUGAUCCUCUGUAGCACCUGAAUCCAUGAGAGACCCGAAUAUGCAUGAUAAACUAUAGAGAAAGUUAAAAUAAACUGAAUAAUUGUUUCAGGGAAGUUUUCCUUCCAUGUUGAAAUAAGAUAUGAUCCAAUCGAUGGCAAGAAGCAAACCACGAGAGAAAGAUAAUAAGCAGGAAUUAUCGCUACUGUAACUACUAUUUUAGUUUCUUUCAAUUUUGUGUGUGCAUUUGUAGCUUGCUUUGAUUUAUAGCCGCCACUGGACUAUGAACAUAGGCACAUCACCUAGCCUUCCCUGAGUGGAUAAAUGGCAGUAACCUGACAUAUGUAUGCAGGAAACACAAGAAUUGUAAAUUAAAGUGAAGAAACACCAUUGUAAGGAUUAAAUUAGCUAGAGAAACUGGGUGGGAAGCUAUGCGUUGGCAUAGUACAAUACUUCAUGACAACUCACUACUUUAUAACAAGAAUCAUGUAUGUAUGUAACUCUAAUCAACUUUCAUAGAAGUAAUACCAAACAUAUAUAUGGAAAUAAUUUGACUUCGAUGUCAAACUACUCUAACAACACAAUAUAGCCUUCUAAGUAGCCAGGAGAUUCUCUACCACUGUUAAUAUAAGCUCAGAUUUAUUGUACAAAAACGUAGUCAAACAUGUAACUAUAACACGCUCGGGGAAAUUAAUGCUAUAGUUCUACUCCCUCCGUCCGAAUUUAUUAGGCCCAUUGACCAAAACACUGCGACCAAGGCACCCUUACGUAAAGAUGAGAUGUCGAUAACUGCGUCCAGUAACAUUCACGCGUUCGGUUCCACUUUCUAUGUUAUUUAAUGCUAGUAAUCAAGGCCGCCAGCUAUGUGUGCUAAUCGUGGCUGCAUGCCCAAUCCGAUGGAAAAGCCAACGCAUGCACCGGCUGUUGCAUGUAAGACUAGUCAGACUAGCCAUAAUGAGAAUAACUUAAGUAGUAACAUCGAGUCCAACUUAGCAAAUUUGCUUAUGUGGCAAUGAGUUAAUGAGGAGAGAGGUAGUUACAGUAACUUAGCUAGUUACUGUAACAUCACAUGUCCCAAUGCAAUAUAAGUCUAUAACCUAAUAAAUAAACAUUUGCAUGACACUACACUUAUGUUAGAGCAUGGUUAAUAGUAUAGCCAAAUGCUGGCUAUAAGCCAUUGCCAUGUCAUCUAUAGCCCAUCUUAUAGCCAAUAUGUACAAUAGUUGAUUAGAAGAGUGUACUACUUUUUUAUUAUAUGGCCCACCUUUCACUCUCACAAAGUGCCUAGGAGCACGUGCUAGAGCUGGCUCUUCACCAAGAGCCCGCUUCCCUUCUCUCUCUUCUUCUCUUUCCUCCAACUAAGCAAGAAUAUACUAGUUUAUUUCUUAUAGCCAGCUGACUCAGCUCUAUUGUACUUGCUCUUACUACCCACUAGCUAUGAAGAUAGUAACAUAGUCUAGGAAUAUGUGUAUGUUACUAGCAUAUGUUCCUCUUCAUUAUGGCUAGUCAUAGUGGGAGUAAUUUAGCUAGUAACAUAACGUACUUCGAGAAAAUUCUGCUUAUGUGAUAAGUAAUUAAUGAGAGGUGGUAACAUAAUAUGUUACUGUAACAUAGCGCUUUCCAAGACAAGAUGAGUCUAUGAGCUAAUAGAUAAAGUCAUCUAUGAUAGUACUAUUAUGUUACUUUGCAUUAUGAAGGUAGUAACUUAGACUAGUGUCAUAUGCAUGACACUAGUCACAUGAUACUAGUCUAAGUUACUCCCCACUAUGACCAGCCUAACACCUCCUAGUUUUACUCCAACGGUGAAAUUAAAUAGGAAAGAAAAGUUGCAUGUUUUCUUGAGACAAUCUCACGAAGCUUUUAUUUAACUCGUCACAAUGUUUACAGGGAUGAAGGAUAGAUCACCUGGGUUGCCUAACCACACACGGCAGCUAACACCAAGUGAGAGAGCAUGCUUCGCUAAAUUGUGAUCCUCGACAUUCGAGCUCCUAAACUCAUGGCUAAAAAAACAAGAAACAAAAUGCUUAGAUCGAUCUACAAUCUUCCUAAUGAUAGCACCAUAUGCCGAUGCACUCCUUUGCCCAAUCUCAUCAACAACCACUGCAUGUAAUGCCUCGUGCUCGGUACGGGCCUUACAUUAAGGGACGCACACUUGAUGCUCAUGGGCCCAAUAAACCCGGACGGAGGGGGUAUAUGAAGAUGUGCAUCUAGAUAUACAACCGAUGAACAAUACUGAAAACUAUAAAUCUUGAAUCUUUCCUUUUUCAUCACAACAUGUCCAUAUCGAGUUGUAGGAGCUUUCUCCAUGAAUAAAUCGUUUCUUGUUACUAACCCCGGAAUACACUGCUUACGGUACAAAAAUAGCUUCAUUUUCAUGUUUUGUCACUUGGUAGGCAUAAAUCAUGGGAGUCAUAUCCGGUAAAUUAAUAUAAGAAUGUCUUCACAUGUUAUUUUUUACCAAGCUUCUCGGGGAUGAACCUGCAGCAAUCAAGAUAACUAAUGAACAGUUUUAAGUUUCAUUUUCUCCCAGGACCAUCACUGUGUUAUUCCAACACAACUGACCUCGCAUUGUAUGCUUGGCUGCUGUUUUUCCAUUUGGUUUAGUGCUACCCUACCCAGAUAUAAAUAACCCCAAAUUGUAUUAAACUGGAGAGUUAAAUAGAAAGCGGUAGAGGGGACGGUGUAACCUGGAAGGUUAGGAGAAUAAUUUUCAGAUGUGAAACAGUCCCCUGUGUCCAAUGUAUAAAUCCCAUAGAAAUUCUGAAACAACCAGAACACAUAUCAAACAUUUGGCAGCCGCUAACAAUAAUAAUCUUUGGAUGGAUAAUUAUAAAACAAAGAGAGCGAUAAUUAUAAUUCUUCAAGAUGUGCUAAUCUUCUAGCUUGUGUUCCUUUAAAUCUGAACCAUAGGCAGCACAAGAUGAAGGUUAAAAUAAAGAUGGGGACCUGCAGCGAGCUAGGUGAGUGCUCCUCCUUGUCCUCCUGCAAUAACUCCUCCUCACAUGUGCAGGGGAAGGCAUGACGGUGUGGUUGUAGGGCGGAAGGGCAGCAGCCAUAUUUGACAAUCAAAACUACAGAAAUUCUAGGUCAUUUAUAUUAAUCAUGUAGUUAUUUUUUUGUACUUUAGAGUUUGAUCAAAUUGACUAACAAGCCUCUUAUCUGAAUGUGCCCUCCUCUUUUUUGUAAGGAACAAAGAAUCCUAGCCAGAACAAACUGACACUGCAAAAAAAGGUUAUCAUGUGUACAUGGGUGGUGACCUGAACAGUUGUGUACCAAUUUUCAGGUUUACAAUGAGCUAAUUUUUGUGUAGUAACUACAGUGGCCAUUGAAGAUAUUACUUAUAUUGUUUGAGUUGCGGUUUGCUAGGUGUCUAGGGAUCACACGGCAGUGUUGCGAAAUUUAGAUUGAAAUAAUUGUUGAUGGAGUGCACUGAUGAGAUGAACUGAACUACUUAUGUCUCAGUUUUAGUGGAGUACUUAUGAAUUGAAUGUGACACUAUCCUAGCUUUCAUUUUCUAAUAGACAAAAAUAAAACAAUUAUAUGUCUCUCCACUGAACGAACGAUUGAAGUACACCCCCGAUACCGACACGAUCUGCCAGCCAAGUGACCUGAGAAUAGAUUCAGUUGACCACCAAGAAGGAGCCAAGGGAAAAAUUAGCCAACCAAUUAACCAGGUGACCAAGUAAAUGAUGCAUUGGGGGAAAUGAGAGCGUACGUACAACUUCGGGGCCAUGGCGCGACAUCUAGCUACAGUAAUCCGUGGGGUUCCUCACCAAGUUCUGCCACCCAUCCAUCAUAUAGAGCAUCAAACCAAGCAAACAAAUAGGAUCUGUUUGGUGCACAGGAUAAGCUCAGAGGAGCAUGAUGCAAGAAUGAAGGGAGAAGGAAGACUGGUUCGCCGAGUGUACCUAGCCUUCCUCGGAGUGCCAAUGGAGGGGGAUGGCGACGCCAAGGAUGUAGUCGACCAUGGAAGUGUCGUCGGGGCGGGCGUGGAGGAGGGUUGAGCCGUACGCGCAGCAGAACUCCACCGGCGUAUUUUUGCCGUCUGCUGCGUUGCGGUCUCCAGGCAACCGUUGUUUGCUGCAUUGGGAUCAGAGGCAGAGACCGGAAAAAAAUUAAGGUGGAGCAAAGAUUAUUCUUUUAUACAAAUCGAAAGAUUCGAUACACACUACGAACGAAUAACCAAAUACAAUGAAAAUGUAGACAUGUUUUAAUCGUUUUGCUAUAUCUCAUGUGCCUAGAGUUUUGGUGAGUUUGACUGGUUGAGGGAAAUUUUAUUCGCGUCAGCCGUUUUUUCUAGUUCAUCCGAGCUCGGCGGAGAAGGGGCAGCCCCAAUAUCUAUCUUAGAGGGAAGUCAUUGCCCAACUAUCUAUCUUAGGAGCAAGCCAUUACCCUAUUAUCUAUCUUUAGGUGUGGUGUGCAAGGGAAUACACCAGAGUUCUUCAUUGGUGCGGCAUGACUUAGAGGGAUGGCUGAGGAGGCGGCCAGNNNNNNNNNNNNNNNNNNNNNNNNNNNNNNNNNNNNNNNNNNNNNNNNNNNNNNNNNNNNNNNNNNNNNNNNNNNNNNNNNNNNNNNNNNNNNNNNNNNNNNNNNNNNNNNNNNNNNNNNNNNNNNNNNNNNNNNNNNNNNNNNNNNNNNNNNNNNNNNNNNNNNNNNNNNNNNNNNNNNNNNNNNNNNNNNNNNNNNNNNNNNNNNNNNNGGAGUCGUGAGGAGGAACAAGAAGAGAGGAAGAAAAUGAACAAUGCAUGAUCUAUUUUGGACGGUUGGAUGAAGAUCUGAUGGUCCAUAUAAAAAGUGAUGCAAUAUUUCUUCAGGUAGCUGAGAGGCUCCAUGUUUCAAUUGGAAAACAACCUAAAACAUAGGGAAAAUCUUGCCUUCAGCCGGCGGAUCGCACUCGGGCAUCCUCCGCCUUGUCCGUGUGACGCGUGUCCUGCGUGGCUCACCUAGCUUUAUCUUUUAUGGUUUUGCAAAUGAGCCCUUGUCGCAGUUUUCCCAACGCAACAACACGUAUAUUACAGGAUCUGGAUCUGGAUCCCUCGAGCGCAGUUUCCUCCCGUGUUCCUCCCAAGCUCCUGUUCUUCCUCUAAUUUGUGCAACACCAUUUAUGUUGCAAAAGUCUUUCUGCAACAUCAUUCAUGUUGCAAAAAACUAAAGACGAAAAAAUUGUAACACUUGAAUGUUUCUGCAACAUGAACUCUAUUGCAAAGAGGGUUCUGCAACACUGACUUUGUUGCAAUAAUGAGGGCGGAGUUAACUGUUGGUUUGGACCAGAUCUAACUGCUGCUAAGUGGGUAGCUGUUUUCAGAUUAUCUGUCGGCGGACGUGUAACACUACCCUAAAACAUAUCGAUAAAUAUAAUGAAGCUUUCAAUGGCCAGCCGCCGCCAACGCGUUACAGCUUAGGGUCUGUUUUGUGCCUAGAGUGGUCGCAUAUGAUGUUCGUGUGUGUCUUUGCUUCGUGCAUGGGCGCUUGAUCGAACCUGACCACUCGACGUCUCGACUCUGGACUGGUUCCUGGUCCAACACAUUCGGCCCAUCAAGCCAGCGGCCAGCCUCUUUCCGUUUGUAGCAUUUUCUGCCAGAUGAGAGAUAGCUGGGCCGAUCGCUGCAUAGGUAUAGAUUUUUUUUUUUGCUCAAAAUUAAGGUAUGGCAGCCGCCAUGCCCUGCCCAUUGGAGCGUGCCUAGGUUUUCUCGAUAGGACCUGCAUCGGGAUCCUGUCGAUCGCUGGAUCCUCGAAGCGCGUCACCUUGGGUUGAGGCUGUAUGCCUUGCCUCGCGUCGAUCCCCUCCGGCGCCGGAUCACUGGCAAGCUUCGCCUCGGAUUGAUCCCCACCGGCGCCGAAAUCCCUCCGAGGCUCGCGUAGGCUGGAUGAAGAUGAGCACAUGCUUUGUCGCUCCUCCGAUGGAUCUUUUGAAGCCCACACACGGUAGAAUGGGUUGGCCAACGGCGCAGUGCACUAGAGGCCUCCAUUUCGGCCUCUGAAGCAGCAGCCCACGGUUGGUCCUAACUACACACAGUGCACGAUUUUCAGACGAAAUCUGACGGGUAGCCGAAAACCCAAAUCGUUGUAAGGACUCCCAGAUCAUUAAACAGACGGACUAAUUAAAACCCAAAUCGCUGUAAGGACAUGGAUUAGGUGUGGUUAUACUCUCCUUAAUGUAACCGGGGAGCUAGCGUAGUCAGGUUGUCCCGAUCAAUGAGUCGCAUUGACAAGUCAUGGAUCUUAAACAAGUCAAGAUUCAAGUGAGUACAAGAGACGACAAGUAAUAAAGAUUGUUGGAAAUACUCUUGCCCUAAUAAAGCCCGUUUUGAGGUCGUUGUUUGCUAGCUUGCCAUGUUUGAGAGUCGGAGAUUGAACGGGUUUUGCUACUACUACUGUAAAUGUAUACGGUGUUUGGCUUGGUCCAUUAUCAUGACGAAGUUAGUUGCGGUAGGUGUAGGUUUAAGUCCUUUGACUAGUCAUGUUGCUGUCCUGUUGAGAGUUGUUGUAGGCUUAGGUUCAACUCCGUCGACUAGUCAUGUUGUUGUCCCGUUGAGUCUGGUCCCUAGGUGUGUGUGUGUGUGUGUGUAUAAGCACACUAGGGGCUGAGGUUUUGUAGCAAUGGUGAAGUUGUACCAAAGAUGCGGGAAGAAAUAAGGAAACAGAUGGCACGAUAUGUACCAUUGGUUAAAGUUGUGUGUUCGCAUCAUAGCCUGUGUUUCAUGAAAUUUCGAUGCAACCGAUCGGUGGGAGAAAUUUAACAAGCAAUCCAGCUUGUUAUGAACCUUUCGGAUUUGGAGGCAUCAGGAAUGAGGCUUGAACAGCAGGUCUCUUUAACACUGCUACAAUGCCAGAAACGGGUCUCGCAAGAGCCAUCCUGGUCGCUGAGCUCCUCUUCCCAUGCAUCGAUGGGCCAGACCGGUGGGCGACAAUUGUUUGCGCUGCACAACCCGCACUCGAGAUGAGAGUCCUCUGCCCGAGAAGAACAGCAACAACUUUCUUCUGCGCCUGUGGAGCAGGGCUUUCUUGAAUGGAGUUCUGGCUCUGCUCUAAGAACAGCAAGGAAUCACUUUUGCGCUUGUAUACACACUAACAUUAGUACAACUGACUAACAAAUUAGGAGAAGGAUUGCCUCUAGGAUAAAGAGGAAAUUAGCGCCAAAGACUGGAAGUUGAAAGUGAUACUCCCUCCUCAAAAUAUACUUGCGCGGUCUCUCAUGCGCAACUCGACCGUUAAUACAUAAUCCCUCCACUGAACGAACGAUUGAAAAAUUAAGGAAUGCGCAUGAAGGAAAAAUUUCAUAAAUUUUGGGCAAGAUUACACCUGACUAAUUGACAUAAAAAAUGAAAGAGGUUGCCUCAAAUCCCUAAAAAAGAUCCAAAAGAGUGUUUACACAAUACACCUUCUAUUUUGAAAAAUAAAUUCUCAAAAAUCUAUACACCUUAUAUCAAGGAAAUGCACGCAUUGAACAUGUACAACUGAUAACAUCCUUGUAGAACAGCACAUCCGCUUUGUUUCAUGUAUAUUUAUACUAAUUUAGUGGACAUACAAUAAGUGAAAACCACAGUUGAAGUUGUGCGAUUAAAACAAGAAAAGUCAAAGCACACCUUAUAUCUUGGGAAGGAGGCAGUACAAGAUUUGCAUGCCUAAUAUCCCAAAUAUGGCAAGGAACUUGGCCAAUAUAAGACCAAAUAAAAUAGUAGAGGACAGAAACCAAAAGCAUUUUUGAGACCCACAGUAAAAACAAGCUAAAAAAACUCAGUACUUCUAGGGGAAAUGUGAGAUUUCAUCCAAACAUGUCUAGUUCUCAAUACAAAAAACGCAUGCAUAUUCAUCAUCCGCUUCCUAAUGUGAAACAAGUUUAUCCUUCCAACACAGGGUAUUAUCAAGGAGCUCCUUCAACCUAGUUCAUCCUUCUAACAAGCUGGUUGAUGUAGUUCUCACGGUUACCAGCGUCACCACCCUCAACGUAGUGGUUCCUCUUCUUCUUCAGGCCACCGAGUGGUGCCUUAAGCUUGAA
This 54785-nucleotide long non-coding RNA is filed under the name Triticum aestivum (bread wheat). RNAcentral's name for it is "long non-coding RNA (TAES_LNC021273)". The record is from RNAcentral. Lineage: Eukaryota; Viridiplantae; Streptophyta; Magnoliopsida; Poales; Poaceae.